GAAUCGCGAUGUAAGAAGCUUGAUUUUGAUACAUAUAGUAAUGGAGAAUCACUAGGAAGUUGAAUAAAUUUCAUAGGAGUUAGGAUGAAGAAGCUAUCCCACUUUCAAAUCAGGUGAUCCCAUUUUUCCGGUUUGGGAAUAUGACAGCUUUAAAUGGAUACAUAAAGUAGUGGAGAACCAUUAGGAAGUUGAAUAAAUCUCAUAGGAGUUAGGAUGAAGAAGCUAUCCCACUCUCAAAUCAGGUGAUCCCGGUUUUCCUGUUUGGGAAUAUGACAGCUUCCUUGUUAUUCAUUUCAUAGGAGUUAGGAUGAAGAAGCUAUCCCACUUUCAAAAUCAGGUGAUCCCACGUUUGGUUUGGGAAAACUGGGAUCACCUGAUUUGAAAGUAGGAUAGCUUCUUCAUCCUAACUCCUAUGAGAUUUAUUCAACUUCCUAAUGGUUCUCCACUACUUUAUGUAUCCAAUUCAAGCUUCUUACAUCACGAUUCAUCCUGGUUUGAUUAGAAUGACAAAGAAGCUGUCAUAUUCCCAAACAGGAAAACUGGGAUCACCUGAUUUUGAAAGUGGGAUAGCUUCUUCAUCCUAACUCCUAUGAGAUUUAUUCAACUUUCUAGUGAUUCUCCAUUACUUUAUGUAUCAAAAUCAAGCUUCUUACAUCGCGAUUCAUCCUGGUUCGAUUAGAAUGACAAGGAAGCUGUUAUAUUCCCAAACAAGAAAACUAGGAUCACAUGAUUUGAAAGUGGGAUAGCUUCUUCAUCCUAACUCCUAUGAGAUUUAUUCAACUUCCUAGUGAUUCUCCAUUACUUUAUGUAUCAAAAUCAAGCUUCUUAGAUCGCGAUUCAUCCUGGUUUGAUUAGAAUAACAAGGAAGCUGUCAUAUUCCCAAACAGGAAAACCGGGAUCACCUGAUUUGAAAGUGGGAUAGCUUCUUCAUCCUAACUCCUAUGAGAUUUAUAUACACUUUUGUGUAUUAGAGCAUGAUUCAACUAAUCAGGGAUAAUCAGAUGAAAAGAUUAAAGAGAUUAAGAGAUUUUAGUGAGAGAAUAGAGAGAGAGACUCAAAACUCCAUUUGAUUGAUUAAUGAGAGAGUUUACAACACAUAUAGAUUAGGGAUACAUAAUUUCGUCCAGGUUCAGUCUAGCUAGGAUAAGAGGCAUGUGUAGUCAAAGAUGCUUGAUUCAAACUGGCCAAUAAGAUUCCUCACAUGCUUGGGUAUCUUGCUUUAGCUUUCCAGCUGGUGCCAGCCUGUCUAAAGCUCUCUAGCCUUGACCAGACCUUAUCCAAACUCCUCCUUGCUUAUCCAGACUCCUCCUGGCGUGUUUCACUCUCCAAAUGGAUGCAAGGUAACUUCCCAAGUCUUUUAACUCAGUUACCACAGUAACAAUAAAGUUACUGUGGUAAAUCUCCAAAGUUACUGCCUGCUCCAAAUCCCUUCCUCUAUCCAUGUAUCAACUCUUCAUCUCCUCAUCUCAAUACUCCCCCUCAAGCUUGACCAUGUGGAACAAGUCAAGCUUGGAAACCAUGAAGACCUCCCUCAUUAAAAACCUCACCAAAGAAAACCCAUUGGGAUAAAACUUUGAUGAGGGAAAAAGAGUGGAGACUCCAUGGUUAAGGGGCUCAGCUCCUGGGAGUAAGAUCAAUGAGUCCAAGCCUGGAUAGUAUGGACUCCAUUGUCUUCAAUCUCGCUGCCUUAGUAAACACAUCUGCAAGCUGAUCUUCACUUCUUGUAUAACAUGGCAGAAUCACUCCUAAGAUAAUCAUCUGCCUCACCUUAUGGCAAUCCACCUCUAUGUGCUUUGUUCUCUCAUGAAACACUGAGUUGGAGGCAAUGUGGAUAGCUGCUUGAUUGUCACAAUGCAUUGUCAUAGGUGUGGCCUGCUCGAUCUCCAAGUGCUUCAAAAUACCCUUGAUCCACACCAACUCAUUUGUAAGCUUCAACAUAGCUCUAUACUCAGCUUCAGCACUUGAACAGGAGAUGACCUUCUGUUUCUUACUCUUCCAAGUAACCAGAUUCCCUCCAAUGAAUGUACAAUACCCAGUAGUUGAUCUCCUGUCCACUCUAUCUCCUGCCCAAUCAGCAUCACAAUACCCAACCACUUCUGUACUGCCAUUGCAACCCAUCCAAACUCCUUGUCCAUGUUAUUAGAUUUGGUGAUUUAAAGAGUGAUUAAGUCUAAUCUGAGAAUUAAAGAGAUUGGAGAUUAAGAACAAGAGAGAGACUUAAGAGAGAGAGACUCAAAACUCCAUUAAUUAAUAAAGAUGAGGUUUACAACAUACUUAUAUGAGAGAGACAAUCAAAUUCGAAAUCAAUCAGAUAAGGUAGAGGUUCAGGGCAUGUGUAGUCAAAGAGAGCCAUCCAAAAGCAGCCAAUGGGAGUCUUCACAUGCUUGAUCCCUUUGGCAUCUUUUACUAGAUGCUGUCUACUUUACAGCCUGUCUCCAGCCUCUCUAGCUGUGAGGAAACCUUAUCCAGACUGUUCCUCCCUUAUCCAUACAGCUCUUGGUCGUGGCUUACUCUCCAAUGUGAGCCAAGGUAACUUUCCAAGCUUUACCUUAGUUACCACAGUAAAACCAAAGUUACUGUGGUAACUCCAAAGUUACUGUCUGUCUCAAAUCUCUUUCCUCUCUCAAUAUAUCAACUCUUUAUUCUCUCAUCUCAACACUCCCCCUCAAGCUUGACCAUGUGGAACAAGUCAAGCUUGGAAGGACCAUGAGAUCUCCCUCAUUAAAACCUCAUUAAAGAAAACCCAUUGGGACAAAACCUUAAUGAGGAAAAAGAGUAGAGAUCACAUGAUCAGGAGAGUGUAUAGACUAGCCCUUAGGCGAGAGAUCAAUGAGUCCUAACCUGAUGUGUAUGGACUCCAUUGUCUUUUGCCUUGCUGCCUUUGUGAACACAUCUGCUAACUGAUCCUCACUCCGAGUGUAACAAGGUAGAAUCACCCCAAGAAUCAUCAUCUGCCUCACCUUGUGACAAUCAACCUCAAUGUGCUUUGUUCUCUCAUGGAACACAGAAUUAGAUGCAAUGUGGAUAGCUGCUUGAUUAUCACAAUGCAUUGUCAUUGGCGUUGCUUGAAUAAUCUCCAGAUGCUUCAAAAUCCCUUUUAUCCACACUAGCUCAUUUGUAAGCUUCAGCAUUGCUCUAUACUCGGCCUCAGCACUGGAACAAGACACUACCUUCUGCUUCUUACUCUUCCAAGUGACCAAGUUACCACCAAUGAAUGUACAAUAGCCUGUGGUUGAUCUUCUGUCUGCUCGGUCCCCAGCCCAAUCUGCAUCACAGUAGCCUACAACCUCAGUACUCUUGUUACAUCCCAUCCAUACUCCAAGACCAGUAGUUCCAUUCAGAUACAUCAAGAUCCUUUCCACCAUCCGCCAGUGGUGCUCCUUAGGAACUUGCAUGUGUUGACUGACUUGAUUCACCGCAAAGCACACAUCAGGUCUAGUAAUGGUAAGAUAAAUCAACUUCCCCACUAGCUUCCUAUACAGCUUAGGAUCAUGGAAUGGCUUGCUAUCCUCAAUCUCCCCCUCACGUGGAACCUUGUAACCAUCCUCCAUUGGCAUCUUGGCUGUCUUUCCUCCAUAGGCAUCUGCUCCCUUCAAGAGAUCAAUCACAUACUUCCUUUGAGACAUAAACAAUCCUUCCUUUGAUCUGCAUAUCUCAAUCCCAAGAAAAUACUUCAUUUCCCCCAAGUCUUUAAUCUCAAAGCUUGCCUUGAGAUACUCCUUUGUAGCCUUGAUGCCUUCCUUAUCACUGCCUGUGAUGAUGAUGUCAUCCACAUACACAAGCAAUACCACAAUACCAGAUGAGGUGGUUAGGGUAAAGAGAGUGUGAUCCAAUUCUGACUUUCUGAACCCUCUCCCAUUCAGUGUAGUACUCAACUUGUUGUACCACGCCCUUGGAGACUGCUUGAGACCAUAGAUAGCUUUCCUCAACCUCAACACAUUACCCUUCUUUACUAGAUGUUCAAGACCUGGUGGUGGAUGCAUGUAUACUUCAUCUUCCAACUCUCCUUGAAGGAAUGCAUUCUUCACAUCCAUUUGCCACAAAUCCCACUCAAGAUUCACAGCUAAAGAUAAUACAAUCCUGAUAGUAUGAAGUUUAGCCACAGGAGCAAAGGUCUCAACAUAGUCCUCACCAUAUGUCUGAGUAAAUCCUCUUGCCACCAACCUAGACUUGCGCCUCUCUAUUCUUCCAUCAGGAUGAAACUUGAUUGUGAACACCCAUUUACUAGUCACUGCCUUCUUCCCUUUAUACACUUUUGUGUAUUAGAGCAUGAUUCAACUAAUCAGGGAUAAUCAGAUGAGAAGAUUAAAGAGAUUAAGAGAUUUUAGUGAGAGAAUAGAGAGAGAGGCUCAAAACUCCAUUAGAUUGAUUAAUGAGAGAGUAUACAACACAUAUAGAUUAGGGAUACAUAAUUUCGUCCAGGUUCAGUCUAGCUAGGAUAAGAGGCAUGUGUAGUCAAAGAUGCUUGAUUCAAACUAGCCAAUAAGGUUCCUCACAUGCUUGGGAAUCUUGCUUUAGCUUUCAAGCUGGUGCCAGCCUGUCUAAAGCUCUCUAGCCUUGACCAGACCUUAUCCAAACUCCUCCUUGCUUAUCCAGACUCAUCCUGGCGUGUUUCACUCUCCAAAUGGAUGCAAGGUAACUUCCCAAGUCUUUUAACUCAGUUACCACAGUAACAAUAAAGUUACUGUGGUAAAUCUCCAAAGUUACUGCCUGCUCCAAAUCCCUUCCUCUAUCCAUGUAUCAACUCUUCAUCUCCUCAUCUCCUCAUCUUAACACCCUUUAGGCAGCUCACUCUCAUACCAUGUUUCAUUCUUAAUCAUGGCUCCGGACUCAUCAGCAACUGAAUCUCUCCACUCCUUUAAAGCCAUAGCUUCUUCAUAUGUCCUUGGAAUAUAGCUCUCAUCCAAGCUUACUGUGAAGGCUGUAUGCUCGUCCGGAAACUCUGCAAAGGAACACAUAGCUUGAGAAGGAUGCUCCACAGCCUGGGCAUUGUAGUACACUCUCGUGUUUACCCAGUUGGAAGCAUCUCUCUUCACCCUUGUGCUCCUCCUUAGCUCCUGAACUUGUUCUUCUUGUGGCUCUUGCCCAUCUUCACUUGAUUGAGCACCACUCUCAUUUGACCCAUCUCCUUCACUAGACUGAGUACCACUCUCAUCUGAGCCAGUAGACUCUCUUUGCCCAUCUCCACUAGACUGAGCACCACUCUCUACUUCUUGUGUCACCUCUUGAUUAUGCUGGCCUGAAUCUUGAUUUUGCACUUGCUCAUGAGAUUCAGUUCCAUUCCCCCUCUCAUGAUCAAGAGGAGUUGUUCUUUCAGCUUCACUAGUCGGAUUGGAAGACUCUCUUCUUCCAGAUUCCUGAUCCUGGGAUAACCCUAUCCCUAGCUUCUCCAACAGCACCCUCAGUGUUGUUGCUCUAUCAGAUGGAGCUUGAGACAAAUCCUUCAGAUUUUCCCACUCCUUUUCUUCAUAAUACCCUUUUGAUUCAAUAAACUUCACUUCUCUAGAUACCAUCACUCUCCUUGCUUCAGGAUCAUAGCACUUGUAUCCCUUCUGAGUGAUAGAGUAUCCAAUGAACAUAGCUCAUAGCACUUGUAUCCCUUCUGAGUGAUAGAGUAUCCAAUGAACAUAGCCUUAGUGCUCUUUGCCUCCAGCUUGUUUCUCUGUUCUCCUGGACUCAUGACAUAGCAUACACACCCAAAUACCCGUAGGUGAUCAAUAAAAGGCUUGCUCUUAUUCAGCACCUCAAAUGGAGACAGAUUCUUCAGUAUCUUGGUUGGGACCCGGUUGAUGAGAUAGCAAGCAGUCUGUACAGCAUCUCCCCAAAAACGUUUUGGGACAUUUGCAUGAAACAUCAUCGACCUAGCAACCUCCAUCAAGUGCCUAUUCUUCCUCUCAGCUACACCAUUCUGUUGUGGUGUGUAGGGACAACUGGUCUGAUGCACAAUCCCAUGCUUGGCUAGAUGACUCUUGAAGGCAUUGCUGAUGUAUUCACCUCCGUUGUCUGAUCUCAGUACCUUCACAGUAGCAUUGUAUUGAUUAGAUACAUAUGCUUGGAAGUUCAUAAACGCUUCUAGCACCUUAUCUUUAGAUGGAAGCAAUGUGAGCCAUGUAUACUUAGACUUCUCAUCAAUGAAUGUCACAAAGUAUUUAUGGCUGUCUCUAGACAUGCAUGGAGCGGUCCACACAUCCGAGUGAACUAGAUCAAAGCAAUGCUCAUAAGUAGUCUUAGAUGUUGGGAAAACAGUCCUACAAUGCUUUCCUAAUAUGCAUGCUUCACAAUCCAAGUGAUUGAAUGACAUAUUAGGGAUUAUCAAUUCAAUGGCACGAGCAUGAGGAUGUCCUAAUCUAGCAUGCCAAGUAAUACUAUCAAUCUUCUCAGCAGUACUACUCAAGCAAAUAGAAUCAAAGGGAUUAGAGGUCUUAGCCAAGUCGAGGUGGUAUAGCUGAUUUUUGCUGUCUCCUCUGCCAAUGACUCUCCCAGUCUUCAAAUCUUGAAACUCAACUUCAUCAGGUCUGAAUACUACUUGACAAUCAAGAUCAAUGGUAGCUUUCUUCACAGAUAAUAGAUUUGAAGUGAACUGAGGCAUGUAGAAGGCAGCCGUGUCCUUCUCAAACAGUUUGAGCUUUCCCACUCCUUCUAUUGGGAUCAUAGCACCAUUAGCUAUCCUAACACUCCCUGUUGCAGCCUUGAUCUCACUUAUAAGCCUCCUAUCACUGAUCCUAUGAUGACUUGCUCCAGAAUCAAUCACCAUGGGUUUAGAAGCUCCGGAUUGUAUAGCAUGCUUCUUGCUUGCUGCUAAGGCUUGUACAUGUUCCAUGAAAACUCUCCAUUCCUUCCUGGUGAUGCGAUCAUCAGCUCCACUCCCUUUCUCCUGCUCUCUUAACACCCCACUGUCUUCUACUGAUUCCCCCAUGUAGGCUGAGUAAGAACACUCUCCCACAACUCUCUUUCUACCCUUUCCUAUGUUGAUAGAAGCUUUGGAUAGCAUUCUGCACCUUCUCUUCUUCCGGAAGCCCUCACUCCUACUCCCGGUUAGCCUCCAUGAGCCCUCACUCCUACUCAUGGUUAGCUUCUGGAAGCUCUCACUCCUACUCCCAGUUGGCUUCCAUGAGCUCUCACUCCUACUCAUGGUUAGCCUCUCAUCAUCUCUCAUUAUCUCAUACGCCCUUCUUAUAAGCACACAGAUCUCUUCCAUUUCCGGAAGCUGUUCCCCUCUUAGAACCAUCUCUACCAGCCACCACAAAUCUCUUCCAUUUCCGGAAGCUGUUCCCCUCUUAGAACCAUCUCUACCAGCCACCCAUAUGAUGACUCCAUGCUCGCCAAGAGCUUCAAGACCGUCUCUUGCUCUUGUGUAGUAUCCCCAUCCACAUGGGAUCUCAACCCUUGUAGUUCAACCCACAAAUGUUGUAGCUUCCUCACAUGGUUAUUGAACUCUUCUCUUCCUGGUUUACCUCCACUAAUCACCUUCUUGACUUCAUACACUCUCCUAAGACUGAUCUUGUUCUCAUAAACAUCUUCAAUCUUCUCAAGCAGUGUACUUUCUUCAAGACUAAAGCAAUUUCCACUUGUUUCUCUUGCUGUCUGAUCUUUCUCAGCAGCUUUACCCUUCAAAGACUCUUCCUUCUCAUGGUUUCUCCAAACUCCACACCUCUUCAGAGUCGUUUUCAUUUGUGAGAACCACCCCCACUCAUUCCCUCUCUCUUCCUUCUCUUCACGCCUUGCUGAACCACAAGCUAGACCCAUCUUCUGACCUUGUCAAACACCUAAAGGGACUCCCUUGAAGCUGACUCUCCAAAAGAAACACCAACAGACACAAACUUGACUUUUAAAGGAUCUAGCUCUUGAAAAAUCUCAAGAACUCUCAAGAACACUCAAGAACACUCAAGAACAUUUAGAAAAACGAAAUCACUCUCUCCUUUUAAAGUAACCUGGCUCUGAUACCAUAUUAGAUUUGGUGAUUUAAAGAGUGAUUAAGUCUAAUCUGAGAAUUAAAGAGAUUGGAGAUUAAGAACAAGAGAGAGACUUAAGAAUGAGAGACUCAAAAAACCAUUAAUUAAUUAUGAGAGAGUUUACAUCAGAUAUAUACAAAAGGAAGAAGCAUUUUCGAAAUCAAUCUAAGGGGAUAAGAUAAGCAUGUGUAGUCAAAGGCCAGGCUGUUAAUCCCAUGGCUGAGAUUGCUCACAUGCUUCUACUAGUGCUAAAGCACUCUUCUCCUUUCCAGCCAGUGACAGCCUGUCCAAUUCUCCUCUCUUAUCCCUUCCCAUACUCAGAUCAAGUGUAGACAACCUAGGGUAACUUCUCCUUGCCAUCCGAGUUACCCUGGUUACUAUGGUAACUUCUUUAGUUACCACAGUAACAAUAAAGUUACUGUGGUAACUCUCCAAAGUUACUGUCUGCUCCAACUCUCUUCCUCUCUCAAUAUAUCAACUCUUUAUUCUCUCAUCUCAACAGUAAGAAGCUUGAUUUUGAAACAUAAAGUAGUGGAGAAUCACCAGGAAGUCGAAUAAAUCUCACUCUCAUCUCAACACUCCCCCUCAAGCUUGACCAUGUGGAACAAGUCAAGCUUGGAAGGACCAUGAGAUCUCCCUCAUUAAAACCUCAUUAAAGAAAACCCAUUGGGACAAAACCUUAAUGAGGAAAAAGAGUAGAGAUCACAUGAUCAGGAGAGUGUAUAGACUAGCCCUUAGGCGAGAGAUCAAUGAGUCCUAACCUGAUGUGUAUGGACUCCAUUGUCUUUUGCCUUGCUGCCUUUGUGAACACAUCUGCUAACUGAUCCUCACUCCGAGUGUAACAAGGUAGAAUCACCCCAAGAAUCAUCAUCUGCCUCACCUUGUGACAAUCAACCUCAAUGUGCUUUGUUCUCUCAUGGAACACAGAAUUAGAUGCAAUGUGGAUAGCUGCUUGAUUAUCACAAUGCAUUGUCAUUGGCGUUGCUUGAAUAAUCUCCAGAUGCUUCAAAAUCCCUUUUAUCCACACUAGCUCAUUUGUAAGCUUCAGCAUUGCUCUAUACUCGGCCUCAGCACUGGAACAAGACACUACCUUCUGCUUCUUACUCUUCCAAGUGACCAGGUUACCACCAAUGAAUGUACAAUAGCCUGUGGUUGAUCUUCUGUCUGCUCGGUCCCCAGCCCAAUCUGCAUCACAGUAGCCUACAACCUCAGUACUCUUGUUACAUCCCAUCCAUACUCCAAGACCAGUAGUUCCAUUCAGAUACAUCAAGAUCCUUUCCACCAUCCGCCAGUGGUGCUCCUUAGGAACUUGCAUGUGUUGACUGACUUGAUUCACCGCAAAGCACACAUCAGGUCUAGUAAUGGUAAGAUAAAUCAACUUCCCCACUAGCUUCCUAUACAGCUUAGGAUCAUGGAAUGGCUUGCUAUCCUCAAUCUCCCCCUCACGUGGAACCUUGUAACCAUCCUCCAUUGGCAUCUUGGCUGUCUUUCCUCCAUAGGCAUCUGCUCCCUUCAAGAGAUCAAUCACAUACUUCCUUUGAGACAUAAACAAUCCUUCCUUUGAUCUGCAUAUCUCAAUCCCAAGAAAAUACUUCAUUUCCCCCAAGUCUUUAAUCUCAAAGCUUGCCUUGAGAUACUCCUUUGUAGCCUUGAUGCCUUCCUUAUCACUGCCUGUGAUGAUGAUAUCAUCCACAUACACAAGCAAUACCACAAUACCAGAUGAGGUGGUUAGGGUAAAGAGAGUGUGAUCCAAUUCUGACUUUCUGAACCCUCUCCCAUUCAGUGUAGUACUCAACUUGUUGUACCACGCCCUUGGAGACUGCUUGAGACCAUAGAUAGCUUUCCUCAACCUCAACACAUUACCCUUCUUUACUAGAUGUUCAAGACCUGGUGGUGGAUGCAUGUAUACUUCAUCUUCCAACUCUCCUUGAAGGAAUGCAUUCUUCACAUCCAUUUGCCACAAAUCCCACUCAAGAUUCACAGCUAAAGAUAAUACAAUCCUGAUAGUAUGAAGUUUAGCCACAGGAGCAAAGGUCUCAACAUAGUCCUCACCAUAUGUCUGAGUAAAUCCUCUUGCCACCAACCUAGACUUGCGCCUCUCUAUUCUUCCAUCAGGAUGAAACUUGAUUGUGAACACCCAUUUACUAGUCACUGCCUUCUUCCCUUUAGGCAGCUCACUCUCAUACCAUGUUUCAUUCUUAAUCAUGGCUCCGGACUCAUCAGCCACUGAAUCUCUCCACUCCUUUAAAGCCACAGCUUCUUCAUAUGUCCUUGGAAUAUAGCUCUCAUCCAAGCUUACUGUGAAGGCUAUAUGCUCGUCCGGAAACUCUGCAAAGGAACACAUAGCUUGAGAAGGAUGCUCCACAGCCUGGGCAUUGUAGUACACUCUCGUGUUUACCCAGUUGGAAGCAUCUCUCUUCAGCCGUGUGCUUCUCCUCAAUGGUACCUCAACUGGUGCUUGCUCUGGUGCUUCUACUUCAGUUGCUUCGACUCCUCCUUGUUCUGGCAACUCAUUAAGCUCUUCAUUACUUGGUUCAGCUCCACCUUGAUCAGGAUGAUCCGGAUGAUCCGCAACAUCUUGAUUCUCAUCCGGCUCAAUUCCAUUCCCUCCCUCAUCCCAAUCUCCACUAGACUGAGUACCACUCUCAUCUGAGCCAGUAGACUCUCUUUGCCCAUCUCCACUAGACUGAGCACCACUCUCUACUUCCUGUGUCACCUCUUGAUUAUGCUGGCCUGAAUCUUCUUGAUUGUGCACUUGCUCAUGAGAUACAGUUCCACUCCCCCUCUCAUGAUCAAGAGGAGUUGUUCUUUCAGCUUCACUAGUAGGAUUGGAAGACUCUCUUCUUCCAGAUUCCUGAUCCUGGGAUAACCCUAUCCCUAGCUUCUCCAACAGCACCCUCAGUGUUGUUGCUCUAUCAGAUGGAGCUUGAGACAAAUCCUUCAGAUUUUCCCACUCCUUUUCUUCAUAAUACCCUUUGGAUUCAAUAAACUUCACUUCUCUAGAUACCAUCACUCUCCUUGCUUCAGGAUCAUAGCACUUGUAUCCCUUCUGAGUGAUAGAGUAUCCAAUAAACAUUGCCUUAGUACUCUUUGCCUCCAGCUUGUUUCUCUGUUCUCCUGGAGUCAUGACAUAGCAUACACACCCAAAUACUCGUAGGUGAACAAUAAAAGGCUUGCUCUUAUUCAGCACCUCAAAUGGAGACAGAUUCUUCAGUAUCUUGGUUGGGACCCGGUUGAUGAGGUAGCAAGCAGUCUGAACAGCAUCUCCCCAAAAUCUUUUUGGGACAUUUGCAUGAAACAUCAUCGACCUAGCAACCUCCAUCAAGUGCCUAUUCUUCCUCUCAGCUACACCAUUCUGCUGUGGUGUGUAGGGACAACUGGUCUGAUGCACAAUCCCAUGCUUGGCUAGAUGACUCUUGAAGGCAUUGCUGAUGUAUUCACCUCCGUUGUCUGAUCUCAGUACCUUCACAGUAGCAUUGUAUUGAUUAGAUACAUAUGCUUGGAAGUUCAUAAACGCUUCUAGCACCUUAUCUUUAGAUGGAAGCAAUGUAAGCCCAGUACCUUCACAGUAGCAUUGUAUUGAUUAGAUACAUAUGCUUGGAAGUUCAUAAACGCUUCUAGCACCUUAUCUUUAGAUGGAAGCAAUGUGAGCCAUGUAUACUUAGACUUCUCAUCAAUGAAUGUCACAAAGUAUUUAUGGCUGUCUCUAGACAUGCAUGGAGCGGUCCACACAUCCGAGUGAACUAGAUCAAAGCAAUGCUCAUAAGUAGUCUUAGAUGUUGGGAAAACAGUCCUACAAUGCUUUCCUAAUAUGCAUGCUUCACAAUCCAAGUGAUUGAAUGACAUAUUAGGGAUUAUCAAUUCAAUGGCACGAGCAUGAGGAUGUCCUAAUCUAGCAUGCCAAGUAAUACUAUCAAUCUUCUCAGCAGUACUACUCAAGCAAAUAGAAUCAAAGGGAUUAGAGGUCUUAGCCAAGUCGAGGUGGUAUAGCUGAUUUUUGCUGUCUCCUCUGCCAAUGACUCUCCCAGUCUUCAAAUCUUGAAACUCAACUUCAUCAGGUCUGAAUACUACUUGACAAUCAAGAUCAAUGGUAGCUUUCUUCACAGAUAAUAGAUUUGAAGUGAACUGAGGCAUGUAGAAGGCAGCCGUGUCCUUCUCAAACAGUUUGAGCUUUCCCACUCCUUCUAUUGGGAUCAUAGCACCAUUAGCUAUCCUAACACUCCCUGUUGCAGCCUUGAUCUCACUUAUAAGCCUCCUAUCACUGAUCAUAUGAUGACUUGCUCCAGAAUCAAUCACCAUGGGUUUAGAAGCUCUGGAUUGUAUAGCAUGCUUCUUGCUUGCUGUUAAGGCUUGUACAUGUUCCAUGAACACUCUCCACUCCUUCCUGGUGAUGCGAUCAUCAGCUCCACUCCCUUUCUCCUGCUCUCUUAACACCCCACUGUCUUCUACUGAUUCCCCCAUGUAGGCUGAGUAAGAACACUCUCCCACAACUCUCUUUCUACCCUUUCCUAUGUUGAUAGAAGCUUUGGAUAGCAUUCUGCACCUUCUCUUCUUCCGGAAGCCCUCACUCCUACUCCCGGUUAGCCUCCAUGAGCCCUCACUCCUACUCAUGGUUAGCUUCUGGAAGCUCUCACUCCUACUCCCAGUUGGCUUCCAUGAGCUCUCACUCCUACUCAUGGUUAGCCUCUCAUCAUCUCUCAUUAUCUCAUACGCCCUUCUUAUAAGCCCACAAAUCUCUUCCAUUUCCGGAAGCUGUUCCCCUCUUAGAACCAUCUCUACCAGCCACCCAUAUGAUGACUCCAUGCUCGCCAAGAGCUUCAAGACCGUCUCUUGCUCUUGUGUAGUAUCCCCAUCCUCAUGGGAUCUCAACCCUUGUAGUUCAACCCACAACUGUUGUAGCUUCCUCACAUGGUUAUUGAACUCUUCUCUUCCUGGUUUACCUCCACUAAUCACCUUCUUGACUUCAUACACUCUCCUAAGACUGAUCUUGUUCUCAUAAACAUCUUCAAUCUUCUCAAGCAGUGUACUUUCUUCAAGACUAAAGCAAUUUCCACUUGUUUCUCUUGCUGUCUGAUCUUUCUCAGCAGCUUUACCCUUCAAAGACUCUUCCUUCUCAUGGUUUCUCCAAACUCCACACCUCUUCAGAGUCGCUUUCAUUUGUGAGAACCACCCCCACUCAUUCCCUCUCUCUUCCUUCUCUUCUCGCCUUGCUGAACCACAAGCUAGACCCAUCUUCUGACCUUGUCAAACACCUAAAGGGACUCCCUUGAAGCUGACUCUCCAAAAGAAACACCAACAGACACAAACUUGACUUUUAAAGGAUCUAGCUCUUGAAAAAUCUCAAGAACUCUCAAGAACACUCAAGAACACUCAAGAACAUUUGGAAAAACGAAAUCACUCUCUCCUUUUGAAGUAACCUGGCUCUGAUACCAUCUUAGAUUUGGUGAUUUAAAGAGUGAUUAAGUCUAAUCUGAGAAUUAAAGAGAUUGGAGAUUAAGAACAAGAGAGAUUUAAGAGAGAGAGAGACUCAAAACUCCAUUAAUUAAUACUAAUGAGGGUUUACAAGUAUAUAAAGAGAGAGCAACAAGUAAUUUCGAAAUGUAUAAGCAUGUGUAGUCAAAGGACAGGCUGGAACUCCUUUUGAAUCACUUGGCUGUGCUUUCUCACAUGCUUGCACUAGUAGAAAAGCAUCCUCUCCUUUCCAGCAUCAUACAGGCUGUCAAACUGCUCCCUUAUCCUUCCUUAUCCUCUUUGGUCGAGUUUACUCUCUUCUCUUCACUAAGUUACCUUCUCAUCCCAUCAGAUAACUUCCCAAGUAGUUACUGUGGUAAAACUAAAGUUACCACAGUAAAACUCCAAAGUUACUGUCUGCUCCAACUCUCUUCCCCUCUCAAUAUAUCAACUCUUUAUUCUCUCAUCUCAACAGAAAGUUCUUAAAUGCAGCAAGUACCCUAUCUUUGGUUUGAAUUAAGGUUAACCAGGUGUAUUUGGAUUUUUCAUCAAUGAAUGUGACAAAAUACUUAAGGUUAUCCCUAGACAUACAAGGAGCAGUCCACACAUCCGAAUGAAUCAAAUCAAAGCAAUUCUCAUAGACUGUUGUAGAUUUGGGAAACACAUUCUUACAAUGCUUGCUUAGAAUACAAGUCUCACAAUCUUUAUUCUCAUAAAUAACACCUGGUACCAUUAAGUUCAAAGGUUUAACAUGAGGGUGACCUAGUCUAGCAUGCCAUAAUGCAUUCUUAUUUAAACUAGAGACAGAAUCAGAAGCAAAUGUAAAUGAACAACAAUGAUUAGGAACAGAAGCAAGAUCUUCAAGUAAGUAAAGGUCUCCUUUAGUAACUCCUUUCCCAAUCACCUUGCUGCUUUUAAUAUCCUGAAACUUUACAUCAUUAGGACUGAAUAUAACAUUGCAUUGCAAGUCAGUAGCACAUCUCUUAACCGACAAUAGAUUAGAUGUAAACUCAGGCAUGUAGAAGGCUUUAGAUUCUUUUUCAAACAACUUAAGUUUUCCUAUCCCUUUUAUGGGAAUUUUAUCACCAUUAGCAAUCAUUACAUUUCCAUUGGCAGGUUCAAUAUCCUUAAUCAAUCUAGUGUCACUUAUCAUAUGAUGAGAUGCACCAGAGUCAACUAUCAAUGCUUUAGACUUAUUACUAGCAGUGUGAGCUUGAUAAAGAGUCCUAACCGGUUUAUAAUCAUUCCUUAAGUUGAUGAAUGCAUUUUCAAUCCUAGCACUUCUAGAAUCACUUUCAAUGAAUGCAUUUUCAAUCCUAGCACUUCUAGAAUCACUUUCAAUACUAUCAGUUAUGUUCUCAAUCAGGGAUGCACCAAAUGAAUAACCAUAGUUGAUACUACUUUUGUUACCGUUUUCUUUGAGCAUCUUGAUGAGGGCGUCCAUGUCUGAUCUCCGGAUGUAGUCAUUGUUGCUUGGCCCUCCUGUGUAAGCCACAAGUGACUUCCCAUCACCCACCUCACGUACCUCUCCUUCAUUUGCCCUGCUUGAUGACCCAGCACCCGAGGAGCUCUCGGUCAUGUGUGCCCUUGCCUCCUUGUCUUUCAAGAACUUAGCCGGCUUCAGGUGAGGAUGAAGGAUCCAGCACUGACUCUUCUUGUGCCCAUGCUUCUUGCAGUGGUCACAGUUCCCAUUGAACCUCUUGUCCUCAUACUUGCCAUGAACUGCCUUGUUUGCUUGAGGAGCUUCAUUCUGAUCCGCUUGAGCAGCCUGGUUUGCCAAUGAGAGCCCUCCUUUGCCUCCAAACAAUCCAAUGGAGCCUUGCUCUUUCUGAAUCUGUGAGCAUACAUCCUCAAGAUCAGGAAGCUUAUCAGACCUUAACAUAUGCUGGAUGAGACCGGAGUAGGCAGGACUCAGCGUGAGUAGUAACCCAAACACCUUGUCUUGCUCGCGCCUCUCAUUCAACUGGUCUGGAUCGGUUGUGCUUGGCCUCAACAUCUCUAGCUCGGACCACAAAGACCUGAACCUCCCCAAAUGCUUGGUGAACUCCAUGUCUUCUUGAGCUAGGUUGUUGAUGGCUUGCUUCACUUCAAAGACCCGGCUCAGGUUUGAAGUGUUCCCAUACACUUUCUUCAAAGUGUCCCACAGCUCCUUGGCUGUCUCACAGUAGCUGUAUGCCUCCAGUAUCGCCGGCUCCAACGACCCAUGAAGAACAGACAUCACCACCAUGUCCUCUUGCUGCCACUUCUCUACAGCUUCACUUGAGACCUCUUCUUGGCCCUCUCCUUGAGUAAUGAGCUUCGGAGCUUCACCAGGUGUAACAUGACUCCACAAGCCCUUACUUCCAACGGUUGUCUUCACUAGGCGAGACCAAACCAGGUAGUUGUUCCCCUUAAAGGUAAUCGCCACCUUCAUCUUCAUGUUCUCCAUCUUAACAACACUUGACUUCAAAAGCUUGAGUUAGAUGAGACCUUGAACCAACGAAUCUUGUAAGAACUGAUCUGAACUUGUCUAGAACCCACACACACGCAAGGAUGAACACCUUUGAGCUUUGAUCUUCCACGGAUGGUUGCAAAGCUUCAAACUUGUUUCUCAACGUUUCAAAACAAGAACUCAGAUUCUUUCGAACCUGGCUCUGAUACCAUAUGAGAUUUAGAGAAUCUGAGUUGUAUAUGAGAGAGUAGUAUGAUUUAGGUUGAGUAGAAAAAGGAUUAGUGACUAAUGGAUAAUCAUGAUCGAAAUGUGUAGAGAGAUUAAUAGGAUAGAACUGUCUGAUUUAUUAUUAUGGAGAGAUUACAUAUUUAUAUGGAUCAGCAUACAAGGGUUUUGUAAUAGUGAAAGCAGAUCCUAGAGACUAAGCAUGUGGAGUCAAACCAAGGAGAGGCGCGCUUCAUUUGAAUGAACGGAGGUGAGGCUUUACACGCUUGAUGCCAAAGGUAUCUUUGCCUAGAUGCUCCUUUUGCCUUUACAGCUAGCAACAGCUCAAGCCGUGUCCCAACCUUAUCCUCCAACGGUCAUAUCCUAAAUCCUCUUCCUCUUGUAGAGUCAUCGGCCACUUUAGGAUAGAUGUGAGCUUUGCCUUUCCUCCCAAGGUACCUCAGUUGUACGGCCUUUGCCCUAUCCGUACACUUCUCCUUAACUUCACACAACUACUCCAUUUCUUCCUUUGAUCUCUCUUCUCAUGUAAACCCUUGAUCCUUUCACUUAAUCAUCUCCACAACUUAACACUCCCCCUCAAGCUUAGCUUUGUGAAAGACUAAGCUUGGAUAGCCAUGAGAUCUUCCUCAUUAAAAACCUCACCAAGGAAAACCCAUUGGGACAAAACCUUGAUGAGGGAAAAAGAGUAAAGACCUCACAGCCAAGGGGAUCAGCUCCUUCUUUUCCCAAGAUCAAUGAGGCCCAACCUGAUGUGAAUGGACUCCAUUGUCUUCUGUCUCGCAGCCUUAGUAAACACAUCAGCCAACUGAUCUUCACUUCUUGUGUAGCAUGGCAGGAUGACUCCUAAGAUGAUCAUCUGCCUCACCUUGUGACAAUCAACUUCAAUGUGCUUGGUUCUUUCAUGGAACACCGAGUUGGAUGCAAUGUGGAUGGCAGCUUGGUUAUCACAAUGCAUUGUCAUUGGCGUGGCUUGAUCAAUCUCCAAAUGCUUCAAGAUACCCUUGAUCCACACCAGCUCGUUGGUCAGCUUCAGCAUAGCUCUAUACUCAGCUUCUGCACUUGAGCAAGACACCACCUUCUGCUUCUUACUCUUCCAAGUAACCAGGUUGCCUCCAAUGAAUGUGCAAUAGCCUGUGGUUGAUCUCCUGUCUGCUCUAUCACCGGCCCAAUCCGCAUCACAGUAUCCAACCACUUCAGUGCUUCCAUUGCAACCCAUCCAUACUCCUUGAUCAGGUGAGCCGUUGAGAUACAUCAAGAUCCUCUCCACCAUGCGCCAAUGAUGCUCCUUAGGCACUUGCAUGUGUUGGCUCACCUGGUUCACAGCAAAACAAAUGUCAGGUCUAGUUAUGGUAAGAUAAAUCAAUUUGCCAACUAGCUUUCUAUAGAGUUUAGGAUCCUGGUAAGGUUUGCUGUCUUCAAUCUCCCCCUCUCGUGGGACUUUGUAACCAUCCUCCAUAGGCAUCCUUGCUGUCUUGCCUCCAUAAGCACCUGCACCUUUCAAAAGAUCAAGUGUAUACUUCCUUUGGGACAUGAACAAACCUUCCUUGGAUCUACAUAUCUCAAUUCCAAGAAAGUAUUUCAUUUCUCCCAAGUCUUUAAUCUCAAACAUGGAUUUAAGAAACUCCUUGGUUGCUAUGAUACCUUCCUUAUCACUUCCUGUGAUAAUGAUAUCAUCAACAUACACAAGGAGUGCAAUCAUACCUGAGGGAGUUGUGAGAGUGAAGAGAGUGUGAUCUAGUUCAGACUUCUUGAAGCCUCGGCCAUUAAGGGUAGUGCUCAGCUUGUUAUACCAUGCUCUUGGUGAUUGCUUCAACCCAUAAAUAGCUUUCUUUAGUCUCAACACAUUCCCUUUCUUCACCAAGUGUUCCAAGCCUGGAGGUGGAUGCAUAUACACUUCAUCCUCAAGCUCUCCUUGUAGAAAUGCAUUCUUCACAUCCAUUUGCCAUAAGCCCCAUCCAAGAUUCACAGCCAAGCUCAAUACAAUUCGAAUUGUGUGUAGCUUAGCUACUGGUGCAAAGGUCUCAAUGUAAUCUUCUCCAUAGGUUUGAGUGAAACCCCUUGCAACCAGUCUUGACUUCUUCCUCUCAACCUGGCCAUCAGCCUUAUACUUGAUUGUGAAGAUCCAUCUACUAGUCACAGCCUUCUUCCCUUUAGGCAGCUCACUUUCGUACCAUGUAUCAUUCUUGAUCAUAGCUCCUGCCUCAGCUCCAACUGAUUCCUUCCACUCCUUGUCUUGUAUUGCCUCUUCAUAGCUUCUUGGGAUAUAACCCUCAUCCAGAUUUACCAUGAAUGCGCAAUGUGCUUUAGGGUACUGAGCAAAGGAACACACAGCUUGAGAAGGAUGCUCCACAGCUUGGGCAUUGUAGUACACUCUCGUGUUUACCCAAGAGGAAGGAUCCUUCCUCAGCCUUGUACUUCUUCUUAGUUGUGGCUGUGGUUGAGGAGUCGGCUCUCUUACUUCUUCUUGAGUUUCAUCACCUGAUGACUCUUCCAUUGGUACUGAUUCGGUUUCCACACCAUCUUGUGUUGUUUCUACACCACCUUGAUCAUGUGACGCCAAAUCAUCUCCUCUUCUAUCACUUGAGCUUUCUUGAGCUCCUGUUUCUUCUCCCCCCUCAUGAUGAAGGUGGGGUUGUUCUGUAGUUGCCACAGGUGGUGGAGAUGUUCCCGGACAGCUCCCUCCACUAGUUUGGUCUUGAGACACCUUAAUGCCAAGGUUCUCCAAGAUAAUCCGCAGCACACCAGCCUUGUCUGAUGUAAUAUCCUUCAAGUCUUCCUGAUUCUUCUCAUCAUAGUAUCCCCGUGAUUCAAUGAACUUCACAUCUCUAGAAGUCAAGACCCUCCGUGUAACUGGAUCAUAACACCUAUACCCCUUUUGAGUUGUUUAUUGAGAUGAGGAAGCCAUUAUGAUAAGAGAGGAGGAGUUAGGAGAGUUAUGGGAGAGGGAACGGACGGCGUGUGUACGGACGGUACGGCCAGUGUACGGCCAGUACGGAUCACCUCGACCAUGAUGACUUGAAUCACCUUUAAAGUCUAUUUAAAGGUUGUGCAAAGUUAGGGCAUGGCAUGUACGGAUAGGGCAUGACCGUACAGAUAAGAGAACGUAAAGGAGAAGGAGGAUGGAAGGCAAAACCACCAUCAGACGCGGAAGGUUUGGAACGGAUCAGACCGUUUAUGGAUAAGGUUGGAGCGCGCCUUAUCUAUCCAGCUCUUGGACAGGCUGUAAAGCCAAACGCGUGUGUUACUUUCUGACCUUGACUACACAUGCUUAGACUAGUGCCAUUUCCCUUACUUGAAAGCCCUAAUGUCUCUCCUAUAUAUAUUGUAACCUCAUCCAUAAUAAAGAUUAGACAGUUCUGAUUAUUCUUAGCCUCCAUGGCGUUUCUCUUAGUCUCUUGAUCUAAUCUCUUACUCUCUACACUCGUUUAGUCUCUAAUCUCUCUCAAAUCUAUUCUAAACACUCAGAUUACUCUUCAUUACUCUAAAGUCAUAUUGUUGAAUAUCCAAUAAACAUGGCUUUGGUGCUUCUAGCUUCAAGCUUGUUGCGCAGCUCUCCCGGAAUCAGCACAUAACACAAGCAGCCGAAGACUCUCAGGUAGUCAAGAACCGGCUUGUGCUUGUUUAGAACUUCAAAUGGAGCAUGAUCCUCCAACACCUUAGUUGGAGUUCUGUUGAUCAAGUAGCAUGCAGUAGAUACGGCAUCACUCCAAAACCUUUUGGGAACAUUUGCUUGAAGCAUGAGAGCCCUUGCCACUUCCAUGAGAUGUCUGUUCUUCCUCUCAGCCACACCAUUUUGCUGAGGAGUAUAGGGGCAACUAGUCUGAUGGAGCACUCCAUGCUGAGCUAGAUGUUGUUUGAACGCCAAGCUUGUGUACUCUCCUCCAUUAUCUGAUCUAAAAAUUUUAAUCUUGGCAUGAUAUUGGUUAGUCACAUAAGCUUGAAAGUUCUUAAAUGCAUCAAGUACCCUAUCUUUGGUUUGAAUUAAGGUUAACCAGGUGUAUUUGGAUUUUUCAUCAAUGAAUGUGACAAAAUACUUAAAGUUAUCCCUAGACAUACAAGGAGCAGUCCACACAUCCGAAUGAAUCAAAUCAAAGCAAUUCUCAUAGACUGUUGUAGAUUUGGGAAACACAUUCUUACAAUGCUUGCUUAGGAUACAAGUCUCACAAUCUUUAUUCUCAUAAAUAACACCUGGUACCAUUAAGUUCAAAGGUUUAACAUGAGGGUGACCUAGUCUAGCAUGCCAUAAUGCAUUCUUAUUUAAACUAGAGACAGAAUCAGAAGCAGAUGUAAAUGAACAACAAUGAUUAGGAACAGAAGCAAGAUCUUCAAGUAAGUAAAGGUCUCCUUUAGUAACUCCUUUCCCAAUCACCUUGCUGCUUUUAAUAUCCUGAAACUUUACAUCAUUAGGACUGAAUAUAACAUUGCAUUGCAAGUCAGUAGCACAUCUCUUAACCGACAAUAGAUUAGAUGUAAACUCAGGCAUGUAGAAGGCUUUAGAUUCUUUUUCAAACAACUUAAGUUUUCCUAUCCCUUUUAUGGGAAUUUUAUCACCAUUAGCAAUCAUUACAUUUCCAUUGGCAGGUUCAAUAUCCUUAAUCAAUCUAGUGUCACUUAUCAUAUGAUGAGAUGCACCAGAGUCUACUAUCAAGGCUUUAGACUUAUUACUAGCAGUGUGAGCUUGAUAAAGAGUCUUAACCGGUUUAUACUCAUUCCUUAAGUUGAUGAAUGCAUUUUCAAUCCUAGCACUUCUAGAAUCACUUUCAAUGAAUGCAUUUUCAAUCCUAGCACUUCUAGACUCACUUUCAAUACCAUCAGUUAUGUUCUCAAUCAGGGAUGCACCAAAUGAAUAACCAUAGUUGAUACUACUUUUGUUACCGUUUUCUUUGAGCAUCUUGAUGAGGGCGUCCAUGUCUGAUCUCCGGAUGUAGUCAUUGUUGCUUGGCCCUCCUGUGUAAGCCACAAGUGACUUCCCAUCACCCACAUCACGCACCUCUCCUUCAUUUGCCCUGCUUGAUGACCCAGCACCCGAGGAGCUCUCGGUCAUGUGUGCCCUUGCCUCCUUAUCUUUCAAGAACUUAGCCGGCUUCAGGUGAGGAUGAAGGAUCCAGCACUGACUCUUCUUGUGCCCAUGCUUCUUGCAGUGGUCACAGUUCCCAUUGAACCUCUUGUCCUCAUACUUGCCAUGAACCGCCUUGUUUGCUUGAGGAGCUUCAUUCUGAUCCGCUUGAGCAGCCUGGUUCGCCAAUGAGAGCCCUCCUUUGCCUCCAAACAAUCCAAUGGAGCCUUGCUCUUUCUGAAUCUGUGAGCAUACAUCCUCAAGAUCAGGAAGCUUAUCAGACCUUAACAUGUGCUGAAUGAGGCCGGAGUAGGCAGGACUCAGCGUGAGUAGUAACCCAAACACCUUGUCUUGCUCGCGCCUCUCAUUCAACUGGUCUGGAUCGGUUGUGCUUGGCCUCAACAUCUCUAGCUCGGACCACAAAGACCUGAACCUCCCCAAAUGCUUGGUGAACUCCAUGUCUUCUUGAGCUAGGUUGUUGAUGGCUUGCUUCACUUCAAAGACCCGGCUCAGGUUUGAAGUGUUCCCAUACACUUUCUUCAAAGUGUCCCACAGCUCCUUGGCUGUCUCACAGUAGCUGUAUGCCUCCAGUAUCGCCGGCUCCAACGACCCAUGAAGAACAGACAUCACCACCAUGUCCUCUUGCUGCCACUUCUCUACAGCUUCACUUGAGACCUCUUCUUGGCCCUCUCCUUGAGUAAUGAGCUUCGGAGCUUCACCAGGUAUAACAUGACUCCACAAGCCCUUACUUCCAACGGUUGUCUUCACUAGGCGAGACCAAACCAGGUAGUUGUUCCCCUUAAAGGUAAUCGCCACCUUCAUCUUCAUGUUCUCCAUCUUAACACCACUUGACUUCGAAAGCUUGAGUUAGAUGAGACCUUGAACCAACGAAUCUUGUAAGAACUGAUCUGAACUUGUCUAGAACCCACACACACGCAAGAAUGAACGCCUUUGAGCUUUGAUCUUCCACGGAUGGUUGCAAAGCUUCAAACUUGUUUCUCAACGUUUCAAAACAAGAACUCAGAUUCUUUCGAACCUGGCUCUGAUACCAUAUGAGAUUUAGAGAAUCUGAGUUGUAUAUGAGAGAGUAGUAUGAUUUAGGUUGAGUAGAGAAAGGAUUAGUGACUAAUGGAUAAUCAUGAUCGAAAUGUGUAGAGAGAUUAAUAGGAUAGAACUGUCUAAUCUUAUUAUGAGAUGGGAUUACAAUACUUAUAGGAGAUACAUUAGGGUUUACAAGUAAGGAGAAAUGGCACUAGUCAUAAGCAUGUGAAGUCAAGUCAAGGAGGGAGCGCUUCUUUUGAAUUCAACGGACGGUAAGGCUCACAUGCUUUCGCUUUGCCUUUACAGCCUGUCCAAAGACUGAAUGGAUAAGGCUCGUCCCGCCCUUAUCUCUAAACGGUCUGAUCAGUCUUAAACCUUCCGUGUACUCUAGAGGCUUCACUCAUCCAACUCCUUCUUCCUUCAUGUUUCCUAAGCUGUACGGUCAUGCCCUAUCCGUACAUGAUCUAUCCGUACAUGCCCUAUCCGUACAUAGGCCGUACACUCUUCCAUUACUUGCCCAACUCCUCUUCUCCUUACCAUAAUGACUUCCUCAUCUCAACACUCCCCCUCAAGCUUAGCUUUGUGAAAGUCUAAGCUUGGACAGCCAUGAGAUCUUCCUCAUUAAAAACCUCACCAAGGAAAACCCAUUGGGACAAAACCUUGAUGAGGGAAAAAGAGUGAAGACCUCACAGCCAAGGGGAUCAGCUCCUUCUCUUCCCAAGAUCAAUGAGGCCCAACCUGAUGUGAAUGGACUCCAUUGUCUUCUGUCUCGCAGCCUUAGUAAACACAUCAGCCAAUUGAUCUUCACUUCUUGUGUAGCAUGGCAGGAUGACUCCUAAGAUGAUCAUCUGCCUCACCUUGUGACAAUCAACUUCAAUGUGCUUGGUUCUUUCAUGGAACACCGAGUUGGAUGCAAUGUGGAUGGCAGCUUGGUUAUCACAAUGCAUUGUCAUUGGCGUGGCUUGAUCAAUCUCCAAAUGCUUCAAGAUGCCCUUGAUCCACACCAGCUCGUUGGUCAGCUUCAGCAUAGCUCUAUACUCGGCUUCUGCACUUGAGCAAGACACCACCUUCUGCUUCUUACUCUUCCAAGUAACCAAGUUGCCUCCAAUGAAUGUGCAAUAGCCUGUGGUUGAUCUCCUGUCUGCUCUAUCACCGGCCCAAUCCGCAUCACAGUAUCCAACCACUUCGGUGCUUCCAUUGCAACCCAUCCAUACUCCUUGAUCAGGUGAGCCGUUGAGAUACAUCAAGAUCCUCUCCACCAUGCGCCAAUGAUGCUCCUUAGGCACUUGCAUGUGUUGGCUCACCUGGUUCACAGCAAAACAAAUGUCAGGUCUAGUUAUGGUAAGAUAAAUCAAUUUGCCAACUAGCUUUCUAUAGAGUUUAGGAUCCUGGUAAGGUUUGCUGUCUUCAAUCUCCCCCUCUCGUGGGACUUUGUAACCAUCCUCCAUAGGCAUCCUUGCUGUCUUGCCUCCAUAAGCACCUGCACCUUUCAAAAGAUCAAGUGUAUACUUCCUUUGGGACAUGAACAAACCUUCCUUGGAUCUACAUAUCUCAAUUCCAAGAAAGUAUUUCAUUUCUCCCAAGUCUUUAAUCUCAAACAUGGAUUUAAGAAACUCCUUGGUUGCUAUGAUACCUUCCUUAUCACUUCCUGUGAUAAUGAUAUCAUCAACAUACACAAGGAGGGCAAUCAUACCUGAGGGAGUUGUGAGAGUGAAGAGAGUGUGAUCUAGUUCAGACUUCUUGAAGCCUCGGCCAUUAAGGGUAGUGCUCAGCUUGUUAUACCAUGCUCUUGGUGAUUGCUUCAACCCAUAAAUAGCUUUCUUUAGUCUCAACACAUUCCCUUUCUUCACCAAGUGUUCCAAGCCUGGAGGUGGAUGCAUAUACACUUCAUCCUCAAGCUCUCCUUGUAGAAAUGCAUUCUUCACAUCCAUUUGCCAUAAGCCCCAUCCAAGAUUCACAGCCAAGCUCAAUACAAUUCGAAUUGUGUGUAGCUUAGCUACUGGUGCAAAGGUCUCAAUGUAAUCUUCUCCAUAGGUUUGAGUGAAACCCCUUGCAACCAGUCUUGACUUCUUCCUCUCAACCUGGCCAUCAGCCUUAUACUUGAUUGUGAAGAUCCAUCUACUAGUCACAGCCUUCUUCCCUUUAGGCAGCUCACUUUCGUACCAUGUAUCAUUCUUGAUCAUAGCUCCUGCCUCAGCUCCAACUGAUUCCUUCCACUCCUUGUCUUGUAUUGCCUCUUCAUAGCUUCUUGGGAUAUAACCCUCAUCCAGAUUUACCAUGAAUGCGCAAUGUGCUUUAGGGUACUGAGCAAAGGAACACACAGCUUGAGAAGGAUGCUCCACAGCUUGGGCAUUGUAGUACACUCUCGUGUUUACCCAAGAGGAAGGAUCCUUCCUCAGCCUUGUACUUCUUCUUAGUUGUGGCUGUGGUUGAGGAGUCGGCUCUCUUACUUCUUCUUGAGUUUCAUCACCUGAUGACUCUUCCAUUGGUACUGAUUCGGUUUCCACACCAUCUUGUGUUGUUUCUACACCACCUUGAUCAUGUGACGCCAAAUCAUCUCCUCUUCUAUCACUUGAGCUUUCUUGAGCUCCUGUUUCUUCUCCCCCCUCAUGAUGAAGGUGGGGUUGUUCUGUAGUUGCCACAGGUGGUGGAGAUGUUCCCGGACAGCUCCCUCCACUAGUUUGGUCUUGAGACACCUUAAUGCCAAGGUUCUCCAAGAUAAUCCGCAGCACACCAGCCUUGUCUGAUGUAAUAUCCUUCAAGUCUUCCUGAUUCUUCUCAUCAUAGUAUCCCCGUGAUUCAAUGAACUUCACAUCUCUAGAAGUCAAGACCCUCCGUGUAACUGGAUCAUAACACCUAUACCCCUUUUGAGUUGUUGAAUAUCCAAUAAACAUGGCUUUGGUGCUUCUAGCUUCAAGCUUGUUGCGCAGCUCUCCCGGAAUCAGCACAUAACACAAGCAGCCGAAGACUCUCAGGUAGUCAAGAACCGGCUUGUGCUUGUUUAGAACUUCAAAUGGAGCAUGAUCCUCCAACACCUUAGUUGGAGUUCUGUUGAUCAAGUAGCAUGCAGUAGAUACGGCAUCACUCCAAAACCUUUUGGGAACAUUUGCUUGAAGCAUGAGAGCCCUUGCCACUUCCAUGAGAUGUCUGUUCUUCCUCUCAGCCACACCAUUUUGCUGAGGAGUAUAGGGGCAACUAGUCUGAUGGAGCACUCCAUGCUGAGCUAGAUGUUGUUUGAACGCCAAGCUUGUGUACUCUCCUCCAUUAUCUGAUCUAAAAAUUUUAAUCUUGGCAUGAUAUUGGUUAGUCACAUAAGCUUGAAAGUUCUUAAAUGCAUCAAGUACCCUAUCUUUGGUUUGAAUUAAGGUUAACCAGGUGUAUUUGGAUUUUUCAUCAAUGAAUGUGACAAAAUACUUAAAGUUAUCCCUAGACAUACAAGGAGCAGUCCACACAUCCGAAUGAAUCAAAUCAAAGCAAUUCUCAUAGACUGUUGUAGAUUUGGGAAACACAUUCUUACAAUGCUUGCUUAGGAUACAAGUCUCACAAUCUUUAUUCUCAUAAAUAACACCUGGUACCAUUAAGUUCAAAGGUUUAACAUGAGGGUGACCUAGUCUAGCAUGCCAUAAUGCAUUCUUAUUUAAACUAGAGACAGAAUCAGAAGCAGAUGUAAAUGAACAACAAUGAUUAGGAACAGAAGCAAGAUCUUCAAGUAAGUAAAGGUCUCCUUUAGUAACUCCUUUCCCAAUCACCUUGCUGCUUUUAAUAUCCUGAAACUUUACAUCAUUAGGACUGAAUAUAACAUUGCAUUGCAAGUCAGUAGCACAUCUCUUAACCGACAAUAGAUUAGAUGUAAACUCAGGCAUGUAGAAGGCUUUAGAUUCUUUUUCAAACAACUUAAGUUUUCCUAUCCCUUUUAUGGGAAUUUUAUCACCAUUAGCAAUCAUUACAUUUCCAUUGGCAGGUUCAAUAUCCUUAAUCAAUCUAGUGUCACUUAUCAUAUGAUGAGAUGCACCAGAGUCUACUAUCAAGGCUUUAGACUUAUUACUAGCAGUGUGAGCUUGAUAAAGAGUCUUAACCGGUUUAUACUCAUUCCUUAAGUUGAUGAAUGCAUUUUCAAUCCUAGCACUUCUAGAAUCACUUUCAAUGAAUGCAUUUUCAAUCCUAGCACUUCUAGACUCACUUUCAAUACCAUCAGUUAUGUUCUCAAUCAGGGAUGCACCAAAUGAAUAACCAUAGUUGAUACUACUUUUGUUACCGUUUUCUUUGAGCAUCUUGAUGAGGGCGUCCAUGUCUGAUCUCCGGAUGUAGUCAUUGUUGCUUGGCCCUCCUGUGUAAGCCACAAGUGACUUCCCAUCACCCACAUCACGCACCUCUCCUUCAUUUGCCCUGCUUGAUGACCCAGCACCCGAGGAGCUCUCGGUCAUGUGUGCCCUUGCCUCCUUAUCUUUCAAGAACUUAGCCGGCUUCAGGUGAGGAUGAAGGAUCCAGCACUGACUCUUCUUGUGCCCAUGCUUCUUGCAGUGGUCACAGUUCCCAUUGAACCUCUUGUCCUCAUACUUGCCAUGAACCGCCUUGUUUGCUUGAGGAGCUUCAUUCUGAUCCGCUUGAGCAGCCUGGUUCGCCAAUGAGAGCCCUCCUUUGCCUCCAAACAAUCCAAUGGAGCCUUGCUCUUUCUGAAUCUGUGAGCAUACAUCCUCAAGAUCAGGAAGCUUAUCAGACCUUAACAUGUGCUGAAUGAGGCCGGAGUAGGCAGGACUCAGCGUGAGUAGUAACCCAAACACCUUGUCUUGCUCGCGCCUCUCAUUCAACUGGUCUGGAUCGGUUGUGCUUGGCCUCAACAUCUCUAGCUCGGACCACAAAGACCUGAACCUCCCCAAAUGCUUGGUGAACUCCAUGUCUUCUUGAGCUAGGUUGUUGAUGGCUUGCUUCACUUCAAAGACCCGGCUCAGGUUUGAAGUGUUCCCAUACACUUUCUUCAAAGUGUCCCACAGCUCCUUGGCUGUCUCACAGUAGCUGUAUGCCUCCAGUAUCGCCGGCUCCAACGACCCAUGAAGAACAGACAUCACCACCAUGUCCUCUUGCUGCCACUUCUCUACAGCUUCACUUGAGACCUCUUCUUGGCCCUCUCCUUGAGUAAUGAGCUUCGGAGCUUCACCAGGUAUAACAUGACUCCACAAGCCCUUACUUCCAACGGUUGUCUUCACUAGGCGAGACCAAACCAGGUAGUUGUUCCCCUUAAAGGUAAUCGCCACCUUCAUCUUCAUGUUCUCCAUCUUAACACCACUUGACUUCGAAAGCUUGAGUUAGAUGAGACCUUGAACCAACGAAUCUUGUAAGAACUGAUCUGAACUUGUCUAGAACCCACACACACGCAAAGAUGAACACCUUUGAGCUUUGGUCUUCCACGGAUGGUUGCAAAGCUUCAACCUUGUUUCUCAACGUUUCAAAACAAGAACUCAGAUUCUUUCGAACCUGGCUCUGAUACCAUAUGAGAUUUAGAGAAUCUGAGUUGUAUAUGAGAGAGUAGUAUGAUUUAGGGUGAGUAGAGAAAGGAUUAGUGACUAAUGGAUAAUCAUGAUCGAAAUGUGUAGAGAGAUUAAUAGGAUCGAACUGUCUGAUUUAUUAUUAUGGAGAGAUUACAUAUUUAUAUGGAUCAGCAUACAAGGGUUUUGUAAAGAACUGUCUUAUUUAUUAUUAUGGAGAGAUUACAUAUUUAUAUGGAUCAGCAUACAAGGGUUUUGUAAUAGUGAAAGCAAAACCUAAAGACUAAGCAUGUGUAGUCAAACUAGAAGGGGCGCGCCUCAUUUGAAUGAACGGAUGAGAGCUGCUACACGCUUGAUGCCAAAAGGAUCUUUGAGAUGCUCCUUUUGCCUUUACAGCUAGCACCAGCUAGACCGCGGCUCUAUCUGAUCCUCCAACGGUCCUGGCCUAAAGCCUCUCUCUCUGGUCGAGUCUUUGUCCACUCUAAGUUAGAUAAAUGAUUGCCUUCCUUCCCAAGAUACCUAGACUGUACGGCCACUCCCUAUCCGUACAUGUCCGUACACAACUACUCCAUCUCUUCUCUUGAUCUUUCUUCUUAUGUAAACCCUUGAUCAUCUCACUUAAUCAUCUCCAUAACUUAACACUCCCCCUCAAGCUUAGCUUUGUGAAAGUCUAAGCUUGGACAGCCAUGAGAUCUUCCUCAUUAAAAACCUCACCAAGGAAAACCCAUUGGGACAAAACCUUAUGCUACAUCAAGAUUGGAAGGAAUCUGUUGGAGAUGAGGCAAAUGCCAUGAUAAAGAAUGACACUUGGUUUGAAAGUGAGUUGCCAAAAGGAAAGAAGGCAGUAACCAGCAAGUGGAUAUUCACCAUUAAGUAUCUACCUGAUGGAACCAUUGACAGAAAGAAGACAAGACUGGUGGCUAGAGGAUACACUCAAACAUAUGGGGAAGACUACAUUGAUACCUUUGCCCCUGUUGCUAAGCUACAUACAAUAAGAAUUGUAUUGUCUCUUGCUGUGAACCUUGAGUGGGAGCUUUGGCAGAUGGAUGUGAAGAAUGCAUUUCUUCAGGGAGAACUAGAAGAUGAAGUGUACAUGCAUCCACCACCGGGUCUUGAACAUCUUGUGAAACCAGGGAAUGUAUUGAGACUCAAGAAGGCAAUCUAUGGGUUGAAGCAAUCACCUAGAGCAUGGUACAACAAGCUGAGUACUACUCUGAAUGGCCGUGGGUUCAAGAAGUCAGAGUUGGAUCACACCCUCUUCACCCUCACUACACCUUCAGGUAUCAUCUGUCUACUCGUGUAUGUUGAUGACAUUAUCAUAACAGGUAGUGAUAAGGCUGGUAUAAAAGCCACAAAGGAGUUUUUGAAAUCUGUGUUUGAAAUCAAGGACUUAGGGGAAAUGAAAUACUUCCUUGGAAUUGAGUUGUGUAGAUCUAAGGAAGGAUUGUUCAUUUCCCAAAGGAAGUAUACACUUGAUCUUUUGAAAGAUGCAGGUAUACAAGGAGACAAGACAGCAAAGAUGCCUCUUGAAGAUGGAUACAAGGUUCCACGUGAGGGGGAGGUUGAAGAUAGCAAGGCCUUUCAUGAUCCAAAGCUGUACAGGAAGCUAGUAGGGAAGCUCAUCUACCUUACAAUCACACGACCAGACAUAUGCUUUGCGGUGAACCAAGUGAGCCAGCAUAUGCAAGUCCCAAAGGAUCAUCACUGGCGAAUGGUGGAGAGACUUCUCUUGUAUCUGAAUGGAACGUCAAGCCUUGGAGUGUGGAUGGGAUGCAACAAGAGCACUGAAGUGGUGGGAUACUGUGAUGCGGAUUGGGCUGGAGAUAGAGCAGACAGGAGAUCAACCACAGGCUAUUGCACAUUCAUUGGAGGCAACUUGGUGACUUGGAAGAGUAAGAAGCAGAAGGUGGUGUCUUGUUCAAGCGCUGAAGCUGAGUAUAGAGCAAUGCUGAAGCUUACCAAUGAGUUGGUAUGGAUCAAAGGAAUCUUGAAGCAUUUGGAGAUAGAGCAGGGAACUCCAAUGACUAUGCAUUGUGAUAAUCAAGCGGCUAUACACAUUGCGACCAACUCAGUCUUCCAUGAGAGAACCAAGCACAUUGAAGUUGAUUGUCACAAGGUGAGGCAGAUGAUUGUCUUGGGAGUGAUCUUGCCAUGCUACACAAGGAGUGAGGAUCAACUUGCGGAUGUAUUCACCAAGGCUGCAAGACAAAAGACUAUGGAGUCCAUUCAUACCAGAUUGGGGCUCAUAGAUCUUUCCCCAAGGAGCUGAUCCCCUUUGCCAUGAGGUCUUUACUCUUUUUCCCUCAUCAAGGUUUUGUCCCAAUGGGUUUUCCUUGGUGAGGUUUUUAAUGAGGAAGAUCUCAUGGCUGUCCAAGCUUAGACUUUCACAAAGCUAAGCUUGAGGGGGAGUGUUAAGAUAAGGAGAGUUAAGUGAAGAAGGGAUGGUUCCAAGCUUAACUAAGUUACUAAGUUAAGCUUGAGGGGGAGUGUGAAAAUAAGUGGUUCAGUAUAUGAGGAGAUGGCUUAAAGAGUUGAGGAUGUGAGAAUGUGGAGGAAAAGGGAAGGAAGGUUAGGGAUCGACCAGGCCGUACAAGAGGCCGUACCGGCCGUACUGUCCGUACUGUCCGGGUCGAUCCAUAACUCGACCAAGCGGGAAGUUACCCGGGUGAAAGGGUUAAACGGCCAAAGGGGUUUUACCUUAGGAGAUAUGACCGUUUGGAUGGAGGGAGUGACCGCGGCUUAUCCUGACAGUCUGGCACAUGCUGUAAAGGCAAAAGGAACCGAGUCCAAGAUGCCAAAAGCGUGUGACAGCUCCCAUUGGUUUACAUUUGAAUUAAAGCAAUCUUAUCCUUGACCUCACAUGCUUAGCGUUUCCUAAUACCCUAAUGUCUCUCUCUAUAUAUUGUAAACUCUGUCUUGAUUAAUGAAUAACACGAGUUCAUCAUAUUCUCUCUCUAGUUCAUCAUGUUUCUCUUCUACAUUUCAUAAAUCAUCUCAUCUCACUUUAAUCUUUCUCUAAAUCUCUCAAUACCUGUUCAACUCUCUAAAAUCAUAUGGUAUCAGAGCCAGGUUGGCUUUGGUAUUGAGAUUUAGAGUGUUCUUCAGCUUCAGUUCAUACUCUUUCAUACUUUCUUGUCGGUUCUAACAAAGCAAGAUGGAGGGAAACUACAAGGUCAUUACGGUUCCUGUUGCGUUGAAGGGUGGUAGUAACUACCUGUUGUGGUCAAGGCUGGUGAAGACAGCCAUUGGGAGGCUAGGGCUGUGGAGUCACAUCACGGAUGAUGCAACCAAGCCAGUGGCUAAAGACGGAGAAGGACAUGAGGGUGUGGGAGAUCAAGUCGCUGCUGCCGAGAAGAAGUGGAUUCAAGAAGACUUGAUGGUGCUUUCAGUACUACAAGGGUCCCUUGAAGAGCAUCUCUUGGAGGCCUACAGCUACUGCGAGACUCCAAAACACCUGUGGGAGGUACUCCAGAAGACUUUUGGGAACGUUACCAAUCUGAACCGCGUGUAUGAGAUUAAGAAGGCUAUCAACACACUGGUUCAAGAUGGAGAAGAGUUCACCAAGCAUUUGGGCAAGUAUAGAUCCUUGUGGUCUGAGCUUGAAUCAUUGAGGCCAAGCACCGCGGAUCAAGAGCUACUCAUGGAGAGGAGGGAGCAGGAUCAGGUGUUCGGAUUGUUGCUGACACUAGAUCCUCCGUUCAAUGAUGUGAUCAAGCACAUGUUGAGGAUGCCGAGUCUUCCAUCUAUGGAGGAAGUGUGUGCGCAGAUUCAGAAGGAAGAGGGGUCACUUGGUAUGUUUGGAGGGAAAGGAGACAUGGCUCUGUCCAACAAGGCUGAAGCAAUCCAAGCACACAAGGCUGCUUACCGUGGAGAGGAAAGGAAGUUCAGUGGAAACUGUGACCAUUGCAAGAAGCCGGGACACAAGAGGAGUCAGUGCUGGAUCCUACACCCCCAUUUGAAGCCAGCCAAGUUCAACAAGGAGAGAGAGGGAAGAGCUCACCUUUCUGCAGAGACAAGUGAAGCUGGCGCAUCAGGAGCUGGCUCAUCUGGUCUUGCGGGUGAAAGUGAAGGAAGAGCCUUAACCUCUCACCACCAAGGAGCUGUGAAGAAUAUGGAUCAUGAGGUGAUCAAGAAGUCAGACAUUGAUGCCUUGAUCAAAGCCCUUAAAGAGUCUGGUAAAGCCCUUGGUUAUUCCUAUACUGCUCAUGUGUUGCCUAGAACUUGUGAUAGCUUGCUAGGAAACUUUGAUAGAAUGGGAAAUGAACCAGAUAGAUAUACAACCUUUGCUGCUGAUAGGAUGUCUAGAAAUGAAUUCACAUUGCUUGAUCUCAUUGAUAAACUGAAACUGGUAAAAGAAUCACCUAGGAAUCAUAUUGCUCAAGGAAUAAAACCGUUGAUUAUUGAUUCAGGUGCUUCACAUCAUAUGAUAAGUGAUGAUAGCCUUAUAAAGAACAUAGAACCGGCUCAUGGACAUGUAAUGAUUGCAAAUGGUGAUAGAAUUCCUAUUAGAGGAGUAGGAGACUUGAAACUGUUUAAUAAGGAUUCUAAAGCUUUAUACAUGCCUGAGUUUACUUCUAAUCUAUUAUCUGUUAAGAGGUGUACCAAUGAUCUUCAAUGCAAUGUUAUUUUCAGUCCUAAUGAUGUGAAAUUUCAGGAUAUUGAAAGCAGUAAGUUGAUUGGGCAAGGAGUAACCAAAGGAGACCUUUAUUUACUUGAAGACCUUUCUAUCAUUUCUAGUUCUAAUUGCUUGUUGAGUUCCGUUUUAAGUAGAGGUGCAUUAUGGCAUUCUAGGCUAGGACAUCCACAUGUUAGAGCCUUAAGCUUAAUGUUACCAGGUGUCAUGUUUAAAAAUAAUGAAUGUGAAGCUUGUAUUUUGGGAAAACAUUGUAAGACUGUGUUCAAGAGAUCUACUACUAUCUAUGAUAAAUGCUUUGAUCUUGUUCAUUCUGAUGUAUGGACUGCUCCAUGCUUGUCUAGGGACAAUUACAAAUACUUUGUCACAUUCAUAGAUGAAAAAUCCAAAUACACCUGGAUAACACUAAUUAAAACAAAGGAUAGGGUUCUAGAUGCAUUUAGAAACUUUCAAUCAUAUGUUUCUAACCAGUAUAAUGCCAAGAUUAAGAUUUUCAGGUCUGAUAAUGGUGGAGAGUAUACUGGCCAUGCAUUCAAGAACCAUCUAGCUCAACAUGGGAUACUUCACCAAACGAGUUGCCCUUAUACACCUCAACAAAAUGGAGUGGCUGAGAGAAAGAACAGACAUCUUAUGGAAGUGGCUAGAUCAAUGAUGUUCCAGAUGAGAGUGCCAAAGAGAUUCUGGAGUGAUGCUGUGAUCACGGCUUGCUACCUAAUCAAUAGGAUUCCAACCAAGAUCCUGGAAGACAAAGCUCCUUAUGAAGUUCUCAACAACAGCAAGCCAGUCCUAGAUCACCUAAGAGUGUUUGGGUGUGUAAGCUAUGUUCUUAUCCCGGGAGAGAUAAGAAACAAGCUGGAAGCAAAGAGUAUCAAAGCUAUGAUGAUAGGAUACUCAACCACACAGAAGGGAUACAAGUGCUUUGUUCCUGAGUCAAGGAGAGUUCUUGUAUCAAGAGAUGUCAAGUUCUUUGAAGAGAAGAGCUACUAUGAAGAUAAAGAUUGGAAAGAGCUGGAGGAUCUUUCACAACCUUCAGAUAGAGCUACAAGCUUGAGACAGAUACUAGAAGGCCUUGGAAUUGGAAUGUCCCAGGAGUCGACAGAGAAUCAGUCAUCUGAAAGACAAGAAGCUGAAGAACCAUCUCACCUUGAUCAUGAGGGAGGGAAUGGAAUUGAGCCGGAUGAGAAUCAAGAUUUUGCUCAAGAUUUUGCGGAUCAUCCUGAUCAAGGUGGAGCUGAACCAAGUAAUGAAGAGGUUAAUGAGUUACCAGAACAAGGAGAAGUGGAAACAACUGAAGUAGAAGCACCAGAGCAAGCACCAGCUGAGGUACCAUUGAGGAGAAGCACACGGCUGAAGAGAGAUGCUUCCAACUGGGUAAACACGAGAGUGUACUACAAUGCCCAGGCUGUGGAGCAUCCUUCUCAAGCCGUGUGUUCCUUUGCUGAGUUUCCAGAGGAGCAUUAUGCCUUUAUGAUUAGUCUGGAUGAGAGUUAUGUGCCAAGGACUUAUGAAGAAGCUAUGUUAGACAAGGAAUGGAAAGAAUCAGUGGGAGCUGAAGCAGGUGCUAUGAUCAGGAAUGAUACAUGGUAUGAGAGUGAGCUGCCUAAGGGAAAGAAGGCUGUAUCUAGUAGAUGGAUCUUCACAAUCAAGUAUCUAGCAAAUGGACAGAUUGAUAGGAAGAAGACCAGACUGGUUGCAAGAGGAUUUACACAAACCUAUGGAGAGGAUUACAUUGAUACCUUUGCACCAGUAGCUAAGCUGCACACAGUUCGGAUUGUGUUGUCCAUUGCAACAAACUUGGAGUGGGAUUUGUGGCAGAUGGAUGUGAAGAAUGCUUUCUUACAAGGUGAGCUAGAAGAUGAGGUAUACAUGCUUCCUCCUCCUGGUCUUGAGCAUCUAGUAAAACCAGGAAAUGUUUUGAGAUUGAAGAAGGCAAUAUAUGGGCUGAAGCAGUCUCCUAGAGCUUGGUACAGAAAGCUGAGUACAACUCUCAAUGGGAGAGGAUUCAGGAAGUCUGAACUGGAUCAUACACUCUUCACUUUGGUUACUCCAUCAGGGAUCAUUGUGAUACUGGUAUAUGUGGAUGAUUUGAUUAUCACAGGGAGUGAUAAGGCUGGGAUUAAAGCCACUAAAGAGUUCCUCAAGUCUGUGUUUGAUAUCAAAGACUUGGGAGAGAUGAAGUAUUUCUUGGGGAUUGAGAUAUGCAGAUCCAAGGAGGGUUUGUUUAUGUGUCAAAGGAAGUAUACAAUGGAUAUGUUGAAGGAGACUGAUGUACUUGGAGGAAAGGUAGCCAAGACACCUCUUGAAGAGGGGUAUAAGGUCUUACGUGAGGGGGAGGUUGAAGAGAACCAGUUGUUUGAGGAUGCUAAGCUGUAUAGGAAGAUGGUUGGCAAGCUGAUCUACUUGACCAUCACCAGACCAGAUAUAUGUUUUGCUGUGAACCAAGUGAGUCAGCAUAUGCAGGCACCAAAGGUCCAUCACUGGAAGAUGGUUGAUAGGAUACUGAGGUAUCUGAGUGGGACGACUGGACAAGGGGUUUGGAUGGGUUGUAAUGGCAGUACAGAAGUGGUUGGGUAUUGUGAUGCUGAUUGGGCAGGAGAUAGAGUGGACAGGAGAUCAACUACUGGGUAUUGUACAUUCAUUGGAGGAAACUUGGUUACUUGGAAGAGUAAGAAGCAGAAGGUUANNNNNNNNNNNNNNNNNNNNNNNNNNNNNNNNNNNNNNNNNNNNNNNNNNNNNNNNNNNNNNNNNNNNNNNNNNNNNNNNNNNNNNNNNNNNNNNNNNNNNNNNNNNNNNNNNNNNNNNNNNNNNNNNNNNNNNNNNNNNNNNNNNNNNNNNNNNNNNNNNNNNNNNNNNNNNNNNNNNNNNNNNNNNNNNNNNNNNNNNNNNNNNNNNNNNNNNNNNNNNNNNNNNNNNNNNNNNNNNNNNNNNNNNNNNNNNNNNNNNNNNNNNNNNNNNNNNNNNNNNNNNNNNNNNNNNNNNNNNNNNNNNNNNNNNNNNNNNNNNNNNNNNNNNNNNNNNNNNNNNNNNNNNNNNNNNNNNNNNNNNNNNNNNNNNNNNNNNNNNNNNNNNNNNNNNNNNNNNNNNNNNNNNNNNNNNNNNNNNNNNNNNNNNNNNNNNNNNNNNNNNNNNNNNNNNNNNNNNNNNNNNNNNNNNNNNNNNNNNNNNNNNNNNNNNNNNNNNNNNNNNNNNNNNNNNNNNNNNNNNNNNNNNNNNNNNNNNNNNNNNNNNNNNNNNNNNNNNNNNNNNNNNNNNNNNNNNNNNNNNNNNNNNNNNNNNNNNNNNNNNNNNNNNNNNNNNNNNNNNNNNNNNNNNNNNNNNNNNNNNNNNNNNNNNNNNNNNNNNNNNNNNNNNNNNNNNNNNNNNNNNNNNNNNNNNNNNNNNNNNNNNNNNNNNNNNNNNNNNNNNNNNNNNNNNNNNNNNNNNNNNNNNNNNNNNNNNNNNNNNNNNNNNNNNNNNNNNNNNNNNNNNNNNNNNNNNNNNNNNNNNNNNNNNNNNNNNNNNNNNNNNNNNNNNNNNNNNNNNNNNNNNNNNNNNNNNNNNNNNNNNNNNNNNNNNNNNNNNNNNNNNNNNNNNNNNNNNNNNNNNNNNNNNNNNNNNNNNNNNNNNNNNNNNNNNNNNNNNNNNNNNNNNNNNNNNNNNNNNNNNNNNNNNNNNNNNNNNNNNNNNNNNNNNNNNNNNNNNNNNNNNNNNNNNNNNNNNNNNNNNNNNNNNNNNNNNNNNNNNNNNNNNNNNNNNNNNNNNNNNNNNNNNNNNNNNNNNNNNNNNNNNNNNNNNNNNNNNNNNNNNNNNNNNNNNNNNNNNNNNNNNNNNNNNNNNNNNNNNNNNNNNNNNNNNNNNNNNNNNNNNNNNNNNNNNNNNNNNNNNNNNNNNNNNNNNNNNNNNNNNNNNNNNNNNNNNNNNNNNNNNNNNNNNNNNNNNNNNNNNNNNNNNNNNNNNNNNNNUAUCACUUUUAGUGAUGUUUAGAGUGAUCUGAGUAUUUAGGAAAGAUUAGAAGAGAUUUAGAGAAGAUUAAAGUAUGAAAUGAGAUUAAGAGUCUAAAGAACUAAAGAGAGACUAAGAGAGACUCAUAACUUGCUUAAUCUUAUUAAUGAUGAGGUUACAAUAUAUAUAGAGAGAUCAGAUACAAGGGUUUCCAUUUGAUCACUAUUCUAAGCAUGUGGAGUCAAGGGAAGAGGCUCCUCAUUUCAAACUCAGCCAAUAAGAGAGUGAUCGUGUGUGAGGCAUCUUGGACUGAGAUGCUUUGCCUUUCCAGCCUGUCACAGCCUGUCAAGGCUCUCCACCUUAUCCACAACCUUAUCCUAACCUCAGCGCACACUCCUCUCUUUCCUGGAAGUUUCCCUUUGCCCAUUUCACUCUCAAGUAACUCCUUUCACUCAGGUAACUUCCUUUUAACUCUUUUUACCACAGUAACAAAUAUUUACUGUGGUAACUUUCUCCACCCAAGUUACUUCAACUCUCCAUAACUACUCCUCAUCUCAACACUCCCCCUCAAGCUUAGCUUUGUGAAAGUCUAAGCUUGGACAGCCAUGAGAUCUUCCUCAUUAAAAACCUCACUAAGGAAAACCCAUUGGGACAAAACCUUAAUGAGGGAAAAAGAGUGAAGAUCUCACAGCUAAGGGGAUCAGCUCCUUCUCUUCCCAAGAUCUAUGAGUCCCAAUCUGAUGUGAAUGGACUCCAUAGUCUUUUGUCUCGCAGCCUUGGUGAAUACAUCAGCCAACUGAUCUUCACUUCUAGUAUAGCAGGGCAAGAUCACUCCUAGCACAAUCAUCUGUCUCACUUUGUGGCAAUCAACCUCAAUGUGCUUGGUUCUCUCAUGGAACACCGAGUUGGAUGCAAUGUGAAUAGCAGCUUGAUUGUCACAAUGCAUUGUCAUUGGGGAGGCUUGAUCAAUCUCUAAGUGCUUCAAGAUGCCUUUGAUCCACACCAACUCGUUUGUAAGCUUCAGCAUGGCUCUAUACUCAGCUUCAGCACUUGAACAUGACACCACCUUCUGCUUCUUGCUCUUCCAAGUCACCAAGUUACCUCCAAUGAAUGUGCAAUAGCCGGUAGUUGAUCUCCUAUCAGCUCUAUCUCCUGCCCAAUCAGCAUCACAAUACCCCACCACUUCUGUGCUUCCAUUACAUCCCAUCCAAACCCCUUGAUCCGGCGAGCCAUUCAGAUACAUCAGCAGCCUCUCUACCAUGCGCCAAUGAUGUUCCUUUGGAAGCUGCAUGUGUUGACUCACCUGGUUCACAGCAAAACAUAUAUCAGGUCUUGUAAUGGUAAGAUAAAUCAAUUUGCCAACAAGAGUUCUAUAGAGUUUAGGAUCAUGAAAUGGCUUGCUGUCUCACAGCAAAGCAAAUGUCAGGUCUAGUUAUGGUAAGGUAAAUCAAUUUACCAACUAGCUUUCUAUAGAGUUUAGGAUCCUGAUAAGGUUUGCUGUCUUCAAUCUCCCCCUCUCUUGGGACUUUGUAGCCAUCCUCCAUAGGCAUCCUUGCUGUCUUGCCUCCAUAAGCACCUGCACCUUUCAAAAGAUCAAGUGUAUACUUCCUUUGGGACAUGAACAAUCCUUCCUUAGAUCUACAAAUCUCAAUUCCAAGGAAGUAUUUCAUUUCUCCCAAGUCUUUGAUUUCAAACAUAGACUUUAGGAAUUCCUUGGUUGCUUUGAUACCUUCCUUAUCACUCCCAGUGAUAAUGAUAUCAUCCACAUACACAAGGAGAGCAACCAUACCUGAGGGUGUCGUGAGAGUAAAGAGAGUGUGAUCCAAUUCUGACUUCUUGAAGCCUCGGCCAUUCAGAGUUGUGCUCAACUUGUUAUACCAAGCUCUUGGUGAUUGCUUCAACCCAUAAAUGGCUUUCUUUAGCCUCAGUACAUUCCCUCUCUUCACUAGAUGUUCCAGACCUGGUGGAGGAUACAUAUAGACUUCAUCCUCAAGCUCUCCUUGUAGAAAAGCAUUCUUUACAUCCAUUUGCCACAAUCCCCAUCCUAGGUUCACAGCCAAGCUUAAGACAAUCCUAAUGGUGUGUAGCUUGGCUACUGGUGCAAAUGUCUCAAUGUAGUCCUCUCCAUAUGUCUGAGUGAACCCUCUUGCUACUAGUCUAGUCUUCUUCCUCUCAAUUGACCCAUCAGCCUUGUACUUGAUUGUAAAGAUCCAUCUACUAGACACAGCUUUCUUCCCUUUUGGUAGUUCACUCUCAUACCAUGUAUCAUUCUUUAUCAUAGCUCCUGCCUCAGCUCCUACUGAUUCCUUCCAUUCCUUAUCCUCCAUUGCCUCUUCAUAGCUUCUUGGUAUGUGAUUUUCAUCCAAGUUUACCAUGAAUGCGCAAUGUGCUUCUGGAUAUUGAGCAAAAGAACACACGGCCUGAGUAGGAUGCUUCACAGCUUGGGCAUUGUAGUACACUCUUGUGUUUACCCAACUGGAAGGAUCCUAGAACACACGGCCUGAGUAGGAUGCUUCACAGCUUGGGCAUUGUAGUACACUCUUGUGUUUACCCAACUGGAAGGAUCCUUUCUCAGCCUUGUACUUCUUCUCAAUACUGGCCCUUCUUGCGCCAUCUCUUGUUCUUCUUCUUGUGGCUGCACACUUGUUUCAGAUCUUUCUUCUCCUAGCUGACUUGCUUCAGCUCCUUCUUCCCUUAGCUGACUUUCUUCAGCUCCUUCUUCUUGAUCAUUUGAUUCCACAGCUUGAUCAUGAGAGCCAGAACUCUCUUCUCUACUUGUUUCUUCACGGUUUGGAGUUCUUGUUUCAUUCCCCCCCUCAUGCUCAAGGUUGGAAGUCUGAUGAUCCGGGACUGGGGGAGUGCUUCUCCCCCCUUGAUGUCCUUGAUUCAUGUUGAUUCCAAGACCUUCUAGGAUAAUCCUCAAGGUUUCAGCUCUAUCAGAGGUAAGAUCCUUCAAGUCUUCUUGAAUCUGUUCCUCAUAAUAUCCUUUCUCUUCAACAAACUUCACUUCUCUAGAUACUAACACUCUCCUUGUGUUAGGAUCAUAGCACUUGUAUCCUUUCUGACUUGAUGAAUAUCCAAUGAACAUUGCCUUUGAACUCUUAGCAUCUAGCUUGUUUCUUAUCUCUCCAGGCACCAUCACAAAACACAAACACCCAAAGACCUUCAUAUGCUCGAGAGAAGGCUUGUACUGAUUCAGUACCUCAAAUGGUGAUUGUCCUUGGAGGAUCAGAGUUGGUGUCCUGUUGAUGAGAUAACAUGCCGUAGCAACAGCAUCACUCCAAAACUUCUUAGGCACAUUGGAUUGAAACAUCAUGGACCUGGCUACUUCCAUCAAAUGCCUGUUCUUCCUCUCAGCCACACCAUUCUGUUGUGGUGUAUAGGGACAGCUUGUCUGAUGAAGAAUUCCAUGCUGAGCUAAGUGUAGCUUGAAUGCUUGUCCCGUGUACUCUCCUCCAUUAUCUGACCUGAAAAUCUUUAUCUUGGCAUUGUAAUGGUUAGUCACAUAGGAUUGAAAAUUUUUAAAUGCAUCAAGUACCCUAUCUUUGGUUGGAAUUAAGGUUAACCAGGUGUAUUUGGAUUUUUCAUCAAUGAAAGUUACAUAAUACUUAUGAUUUUCUCUAGAUAGGCAAGGUGCAGUCCAAACAUCAGAAUGAAUAAGAUCAAAACACUUUUCAUAAACAGUAGUAGACUUGUUAAAGACAGUUCUACAAUGCUUGCCUAAAAUGCAAGCUUCACAAUCAUUAUUCUCAAAGGAAACACCUGGCAACAUCAGUUUUAAAGCCUUAUUGUGAGGGUGUCCUAAUCUAGCAUGCCACAAUGCAUUUUUACUUAAACCAGAACUAGAAACAGAAGUAAAUGAGCAGCUAUAUCUAGAAACAGGAGUGAGAUCUUCAAGUAAAUAUAGCUCUCCUUUAGUCACUCCCUUUCCAAUCAUCUUGCUGCUUUUAAUAUCCUGAAACUUCACAUCAUUAGGACUGAAUAUAACAUUGCAUUGCAAAUCAUUAGCACAUUUCUUAACAGAUAACAAGUUUGAUGUGAAUUCAGGCAUAUAAAAAGCUUUAGUUUCCUUAUCAAAUAGUUUAAGACUUCCUAUUCCUCUAAUAGGAAUCUUAUCUCCAUUAGCAAUCAGUACAUUUCCAUUCAUUGGCACAAUGUUUUUAAUUAAGCUAGUGUCACUUAUCAUAUGAUGAGAUGCACCUGAAUCAAUCACUAAUGGCUUAAUGUCAUGAGAACUAGCAAUAUGCGCAAGGAUACUAGAUGGUUUGAAUGCAUGAUCAUUUCUAGCAAGGUUUGCAGUCCUAGAUUGAUUUACCAUUUCUAUCAAGCUCUCAUGCAUCCUAUCAGUUCUAGUUAGAUUCUCAUAGUUCUCUAUCACCCUAGCACCAAAGGAAUACCCAAAGAUGUUACCAUUCUCCUUGAACAUCUUAAUGAGAGCAUCAAGGUCGGAUCUCCUUAGAUACUCUUGAUCAUUGUUCCCACGGUUGCUUGAUGCUCCAGUGUAGGCUACCAGAGACUUUCCAUCACCUGCCUCACGCCCAUCUAUCUCCUUUCCUUUGCUUGUACCAGCUCCACUUGUUCCAUCCGAGACAUUAGCCCUUGCCUCACGGUCCUUCAUGAACUUAGCCGGCUUGAGGUGAGGAUGGAGUAUCCAGCAUUGGCUCUUCUUGUGGCCAUGCUUCUUGCAGUGAUCACAACUCCCAUUGAACCUCCUCUCCUCAAACUUCCCAUGCGCAGCCGCAGCCUUGUUUGCUUGUGGAGCUUCACUACCUUCCUCUUGAGUUGCUUGGCUUGCAAGGGACAGGUCUCCUUUCUUUGCAAACAACCCAAUGGAGCCUUGCUCCUUCUGAAUCCGCGCACACACAUCCUCAAGAUCAGGUAGAGUGUCUUCUCUAAGCAGGUGCUGGAUGAGACCGUUGUAAGCCGGGUUCAGCGUGAGGAGUAGCCCAAAGACCUUGUCUUGCUCUCUCCUCUUGUUAAGCUCAUCAGCAUCCGUUGUGCUUGGCCUAAGCAUCUCCAUCUCGGACCAGAGACUCCUGAAUCUCCCUAGAUGCUUGGUGAACUCCAUGUCUUCUUGUACAAGGUUGUUGAUGGCUUGCUUCACUUCAAACACUCGGCUUAGGUUUGAUGUGUUGCCAUACACCUUCUUCAAAGUAUCCCACAGCUCCUUAGCAGACUCACAGUAGCUGUAUGCAUCCAGAAUAGCCGGCUCAAGUGACGCAUGAAGCACAGACAUCACCAGCAUAUCCUCUUGAUGCCACUUCUCUUCCGCCUUGCUUGCAGCCUCACCAUCAUCCUCUCCUUGAGUGAUGAGUUUUGAAGCUUCUCCGGGGGUGAUGUGCUUCCACAACCCCUUGCUUCCCACCGUGGUUCUCACCAUCCGAGACCACACCAAGUAGUUGGUUCCCUUGAAGACCACAGCUACCUUCAUGUUCAUGUUCAUCCCACUCUCCAUGUUGAAUGAUGAACUCUCUAAGCUUCAGAAACUUUAUCUUGAGUUGAAUGACUUGUAGAACCCUUCACAGCCUCGAUCUUCAACCCACACAGCUUCAGAUGAUACACCACAACCAGUCUUGAACUUGAAAAGUACCCAGAAACUCUCAAACACACAAGAACACAAGAGUUUCUUCAAAGCUUCAACCUUGAGGCUUCAAAGAAUCUCACACGACCUCAGGCUCUCACUAACCUGGCUCUGAUACCAUAUCACUUUUAGUGAUGUUUAGAGUGAUCUGAGUAUUUAGGAAAGAUUAGAAGAGAUUUAGAGAAGAUUAAAGUAUGAAAUGAGAUUAAGAGUCUAAAGAACUAAAGAGAGACUAAGAGAGACUCAUAACUUGCUUAAUCUUAUUAAUGAUGAGGUUACAAUAUAUAUAGAGAGAUCAGAUACAAGGGUUUCCAUUUGAUCACUAUUCUAAGCAUGUGGAGUCAAGGGAAGAGGCUCCUCAUUUCAAACUCAGCCAAUAAGAGAGUGAUCGUGUGUGAGGCAUCUUGGACUGAGAUGCUUUGCCUUUCCAGCCUGUCACAGCCUGUCAAGGCUCUCCACCUUAUCCACAACCUUAUCCUAACCUCAGCGCACACUCCUCUCUUUCCUGGAAGUUUCCCUUUGCCCAUUUCACUCUCAAGUAACUCCUUUCACUCAGGUAACUUCCUUUUAACUCUUUUUACCACAGUAACAAAUAUUUACUGUGGUAACUUUCUCCACCCAAGUUACUUCAACUCUCCAUAACUACUCCUCAUCUCAACACUCCCCCUCAAGCUUAGCUUUGUGAAAGUCUAAGCUUGGACAGCCAUGAGAUCUUCCUCAUUAAAAACCUCACUAAGGAAAACCCAUUGGGACAAAACCUUAAUGAGGGAAAAAGAGUGAAGAUCUCACAGCUAAGGGGAUCAGCUCCUUCUCUUCCCAAGAUCUAUGAGUCCCAAUCUGAUGUGAAUGGACUCCAUAGUCUUUUGUCUCGCAGCCUUGGUGAAUACAUCAGCCAACUGAUCUUCACUUCUAGUAUAGCAGGGCAAGAUCACUCCUAGCACAAUCAUCUGUCUCACUUUGUGGCAAUCAACCUCAAUGUGCUUGGUUCUCUCAUGGAACACCGAGUUGGAUGCAAUGUGAAUAGCAGCUUGAUUGUCACAAUGCAUUGUCAUUGGAGAGGCUUGAUCAAUCUCUAAGUGCUUCAAGAUGCCUUUGAUCCACACCAACUCGUUUGUAAGCUUCAGCAUGGCUCUAUACUCAGCUUCAGCACUUGAACAUGACACCACCUUCUGCUUCUUGCUCUUCCAAGUCACCAAGUUACCUCCAAUGAAUGUGCAAUAGCCGGUAGUUGAUCUCCUAUCAGCUCUAUCUCCUGCCCAAUCAGCAUCACAAUACCCCACCACUUCUGUGCUUCCAUUACAUCCCAUCCAAACCCCUUGAUCCGGCGAGCCAUUCAGAUACAUCAGCAGCCUCUCUACCAUGCGCCAAUGAUGUUCCUUUGGAAGCUGCAUGUGUUGACUCACCUGGUUCACAGCAAAACAUAUAUCAGGUCUUGUAAUGGUAAGGUAAAUCAAUUUGCCAACAAGAGUUCUAUAGAGUUUAGGAUCAUGAAAUGGCUUGCUGUCUUCAAUCUCCCCCUCUCUUGGUACUUUGUAGCCAUCCUCCAUUGGCAUCCUUGCUGUCUUGCCUCCAUAAGCACCUGCACCUUUCAAAAGAUCAAGUGUAUACUUCCUUUGGGACAUGAACAAUCCUUCCUUAGAUCUACAAAUCUCAAUUCCAAGGAAGUAUUUCAUUUCUCCCAAGUCUUUGAUUUCAAACAUAGACUUUAGGAAUUCCUUGGUUGCUUUGAUACCUUCUUUAUCACUCCCAGUGAUAAUGAUAUCAUCCACAUACACAAGGAGAGCAACCAUACCUGAGGGUGUCGUGAGAGUAAAGAGAGUGUGAUCCAAUUCUGACUUCUUGAAGCCUCGGCCAUUCAGAGUUGUGCUCAACUUGUUAUACCAAGCUCUUGGUGAUUGCUUCAACCCAUAAAUGGCUUUCUUUAGCCUCAGUACAUUCCCUCUCUUCACUAGAUGUUCCAGACCUGGUGGAGGAUACAUAUAGACUUCAUCCUCAAGCUCUCCUUGUAGAAAAGCAUUCUUUACAUCCAUUUGCCACAAUCCCCAUCCUAGGUUCACAGCCAAGCUUAAAACAAUCCUAAUGGUGUGUAGCUUGGCUACUGGUGCAAAUGUCUCAAUAUAGUCCUCUCCAUAUGUCUGAGUGAACCCUCUUGCUACUAGUCUAGUCUUCUUCCUCUCAAUUGACCCAUCAGCCUUGUACUUGAUUGUAAAGAUCCAUCUACUAGACACAGCUUUCUUCCCUUUUGGUAGUUCACUCUCAUACCAUGUAUCAUUCUUUAUCAUAGCUCCUGCCUCAGCUCCUACUGAUUCCUUCCAUUCCUUAUCCUCCAUUGCCUCUUCAUAGCUUCUUGGUAUGUGAUUUUCAUCCAAGUUUACCAUGAAUGCGCAAUGUGCUUCUGGAUAUUGAGCAAAAGAACACACGGCCUGAGUAGGAUGCUUCACAGCUUGGGCAUUGUAGUACACUCUUGUGUUUACCCAACUGGAAGGAUCCUUUCUCAGCCUUGUACUUCUUCUCAAUACUGGCCCUUCUUGCGCCAUCUCUUGUUCUUCUUCUUGUGGCUGCACACUUGUUUCAGAUCUUUCUUCUCCUAGCUGACUUGCUUCAGCUCCUUCUUCCCUUAGCUGACUUUCUUCAGCUCCUUCUUCUUGAUCAUUUGAUUCCACAGCUUGAUCAUGAGAGCCAGAACUCUCUUCUCUACUUGUUUCUUCACGGUUUGGAGUUCUUGUUUCAUUCCCCCCCUCAUGCUCAAGGUUGGAAGUCUGAUGAUCCGGGACUGGGGUAGUGCUUCUCCCCCCUUGAUGUCCUUGAUUCAUGUUGAUUCCAAGACCUUCUAGGAUAAUCCUCAAGGUUUCAGCUCUAUCAGAGGUAAGAUCCUUCAAGUCUUCUUGAAUCUGUUCCUCAUAAUAUCCUUUCUCUUCAACAAACUUCACUUCUCUAGAUACUAACACUCUCCUUGUGUUAGGAUCAUAGCACUUGUAUCCUUUCUGACUUGAUGAAUAUCCAAUGAACAUUGCCUUUAAACUCUUAGCAUCUAGCUUGUUUCUUAUCUCUCCAGGCACCAUCACAAAACACAAACACCCAAAGACCUUCAUAUGCUCGAGAGAAGGCUUGUACUGAUUCAGUACCUCAAAUGGUGAUUGUCCUUGGAGGAUCAGAGUUGGUGUCCUGUUGAUGAGAUAACAUGCCGUAGCAACAGCAUCACUCCAAAACUUCUUAGGCACAUUGGAUUGAAACAUCAUGGACCUGGCUACUUCCAUCAAAUGCCUGUUCUUCCUCUCAGCCACACCAUUCUGUUGUGGUGUAUAGGGACAGCUUGUCUGAUGAAGAAUUCCAUGCUGAGCUAAGUGUAGCUUGAAUGCUUGUCCCGUGUACUCUCCUCCAUUAUCUGACCUGAAAAUCUUUAUCUUGGCAUUGUAAUGGUUAGUCACAUAGGAUUGAAAAUUUUUAAAUGCAUCAAGUACCCUAUCUUUGGUUGGAAUUAAGGUUAACCAGGUGUAUUUGGAUUUUUCAUCAAUGAAAGUUACAUAAUACUUAUGAUUUUCUCUAGAUAGGCAAGGUGCAGUCCAAACAUCAGAAUGAAUAAGAUCAAAACACUUUUCAUAAACAGUAGUAGACUUGUUAAAGACAGUUCUACAAUGCUUGCCUAAAAUGCAAGUUUCACAAUCAUUAUUCUCAAAGGAAACACCUGGCAACAUCAGUUUUAAAGCCUUAUUAUGAGGGUGUCCUAAUCUAGCAUGCCACAAUGCAUUUUUACUUAAACCAGAACUAGAAACAGAAGUAAAUGAGCAGCUAUAUCUAGAAACAGGAGUGAGAUCUUCAAGUAAAUAUAGCUCUCCUUUAGUCACUCCCUUUCCAAUCAUCUUGCUGCUUUUAAUAUCCUGAAACUUCACAUCAUUAGGACUGAAUAUAACAUUGCAUUGCAAAUCAGUAGCACAUUUCUUAACAGAUAACAAGUUUGAUGUGAAUUCAGGCAUAUAAAAAGCUUUAGUUUCCUUAUCAAAUAGUUUAAGACUUCCUAUUCCUCUAAUAGGAAUCUUAUCUCCAUUAGCAAUCAGUACAUUUCCAUUCAUUGGCACAAUGUUUUUAAUUAAGCUAGUGUCACUUAUCAUAUGAUGAGAUGCACCUGAAUCAAUCACUAAUGGCUUAAUGUCAUGAGAACUAGCAAUAUGCGCAAGGAUACUAGAUGGUUUGAAUGCAUGAUCAUUUCUAGCAAGGUUUGCAGUCCUAGAUUGAUUUACCAUUUCUAUCAAGCUCUCAUGCAUCCUAUCAGUUCUAGUUAGAUUCUCAUAGUUCUCUAUCACCCUAGCACCAAAAGAAUACCCAAAGAUGUUACCAUUCUCCUUGAACAUCUUAAUGAGAGCAUCAAGGUCGGAUCUCCUUAGAUACUCUUGAUCAUUGUUCCCACGGUUGCUUGAUGCUCCAGUGUAGGCUACAAGAGACUUUCCAUCACCUGCCUCACGCCCAUCUAUCUCCUUUCCUUUGCUUGUACCAGCUCCACUUGUUCCAUCCGAGACAUUAGCCCUUGCCUCACGGUCCUUCAUGAACUUAGCCGGCUUGAGGUGAGGAUGGAGUAUCCAGCAUUGGCUCUUCUUGUGGCCAUGCUUCUUGCAGUGAUCACAACUCCCAUUGAACCUCCUCUCCUCAAACUUCCCAUGCGCAGCCGCAGCCUUGUUUGCUUGUGGAGCUUCACUACCUUCCUCUUGAGUUGCUUGGCUUGCAAGGGACAGGUCUCCUUUCUUUGCAAACAACCCAAUGGAGCCUUGCUCCUUCUGAAUCCGCGCACACACAUCCUCAAGAUCAGGUAGAGUGUCUUCUCUAAGUAGGUGCUGGAUGAGACCGUUGUAGGCCGGGUUUAGCGUGAGGAGUAGCCCAAAGACCUUGUCUUGCUCUCUCCUCUUGUUAAGCUCAUCAGCAUCCGUUGUGCUUGGCCUAAGCAUCUCCAUCUCGGACCAGAGACUCCUGAAUCUCCCUAGAUGCUUGGUGAACUCCAUGUCUUCUUGUACAAGGUUGUUGAUGGCUUGCUUCACUUCAAACACUCGGCUUAGGUUUGAUGUGUUGCCAUACACCUUCUUCAAAGUAUCCCACAGCUCCUUAGCAGACUCACAGUAGCUGUAUGCAUCCAGAAUAGCCGGCUCAAGUGACGCAUGAAGCACAGACAUCACCAGCAUAUCCUCUUGAUGCCACUUCUCUUCCGCCUUGCUUGCAGCCUCACCAUCAUCCUCUCCUUGAGUGAUGAGUUUUGGAGCUUCUCCGGGGGUGAUGUGCUUCCACAACCCCUUGCUUCCCACCGUGGUUCUCACCAUCCGAGACCACACCAAGUAGUUGGUUCCCUUGAAGAUCACAGCUACCUUCAUGUUCAUGUUCAUCCCACUCUCCAUGUUGAAUGAUGAACUCUCUAAGCUUCAGAAACUUUAUCUUGAGUUGAAUAACUUGUAGAACCCUUCACAGCCUCGAUCUUCAACCCACACAGCUUCAGAUGAUACACCACAACCAGUCUUGAACUUGAAAAGUACCCAGAAACUCUCAAACACACAAGAACACAAGAGUUUCUUCAAAGCUUCAACCUUGAGGCUUCAAAGAAUCACACACGACCUCAGGCUCUCACUAACCUGGCUCUGAUACCAUAUCACUUUUAGUGAUGUUUAGAGUGAUCUGAGUAUUUAGGAAAGAUUAGAAGAGAUUUAGAGAAGAUUAAAGUAUGAAAUGAGAUUAAGAGUCUAAAGAACUAAAGAGAGACUAAGAGAGACUCAUAACUUGCUUAAUCUUAUUAAUGAUGAGGUUACAAUAUAUAUAGAGAGAUCAGAUACAAGGGUUUCCAUUUGAUCACUAUUCUAAGCAUGUGGAGUCAAGGGAAGAGGCUCCUCAUUUCAAACUCAGCCAAUAAGAGAGUGAUCGUGUGUGAGGCAUCUUGGACUGAGAUGCUUUGCCUUUCCAGCCUGUCACAGCCUGUCAAGGCUCUCCACCUUAUCCACAACCUUAUCCUAACCUCAGCGCACACUCCUCUCUUUCCUGGAAGUUUCCCUUUGCCCAUUUCACUCUCAAGUAACUCCUUUCACUCAGGUAACUUCUUUUUAACUCUUUUUACCACAGUAACAAAUAUUUACUGUGGUAACUUUCUCCACCCAAGUUACUUCAACUCUCCAUAACUACUCCUCAUCUCAACAUAAAUCACAUAGGAGUUGGCGUGAAGAAGUUAUCCCACUUUCAAAUCAGGUGAUUCCAGUUUCCCAGUUUGGGAAUAACACAGCUUCAUCGUCGUUCAAAUCAAACCAGGAUGAAUCACGUUGUGAGAAGCUUUAUUUGGAUACAUAAAGUGGUGGAGAAUCACCAGGAAGUUGAAUAAAUCACAUAGGAGUUGGCGUGAAGAAGUUAUCCCACUUUCAAAUCAGGUGAUUCCAGUUUCCCAGUUUGGGAAUAGCACAGCUUCAUCGUCGUUCAAAUCAAACCAGGAUGAAUCACUUUGUGAGAAGCUUN
RNAcentral lists this long non-coding RNA (48248 nucleotides) under Brassica napus (rape). RNAcentral's name for it is "long non-coding RNA (BNAP_LNC019643)". Lineage: Eukaryota; Viridiplantae; Streptophyta; Magnoliopsida; Brassicales; Brassicaceae. The record is from RNAcentral.